RNAcentral lists this long non-coding RNA (47030 nucleotides) under Eucalyptus grandis. RNAcentral's name for it is "long non-coding RNA (EGRA_LNC005909)". Lineage: Eukaryota; Viridiplantae; Streptophyta; Magnoliopsida; Myrtales; Myrtaceae. The record is from RNAcentral.
ACAAGGAUGAAGAGCUCGAAGAAGGUGCACUCUCUCAAGCCUUUCCGUACAUAGUCUUUCUUCUUUCACCCAUAUUUGUUGUGCUAUUUAUUGCUGUCCAAAGAGGAAUAUAGUCCAUGAAGAUUAUAGGAUUACCUUUUUGUUUGUCUUUUCCCCUUUUCUUGUUUUGGAGUUCCAAUGCAGAUUAAUUAUCCAAGUUGUUACUUCUAGCUGGGUUAUUGUUCUGCCCAACCUCUUUGGAGUUCUAUAUAGAGAAUUGGUAAGCACUUUUUGCUGAGAUUUUCGUUUUUUUGUCACAGUAGAAUUUAAGAUGAUAGACAGUGGUACUGUUUCCAUGGAUGCUUAAAGCUAUAUGAAGAUUCUGAGCCAGUGCAAACCCGUGAUGAGUACUCUGAAAGUUGUGGCUGAUAUCUCGAGUUAUAUACCGAGGAUAAUGUUCCCAGGAGGCACAUUUAUUACAGUCAUAAGGACGAGAAGAGAAAGAAGUAUACCGAUAUACUAAUGGUCCAUCCCUUCCAGGGGCUUACGCUUGUUUACAAGAAAAAGGCCGACAAAUCAAUAAUUUACUAAUUUCAGGCUGCUGGUAAUGAAGAAUAUAUUAUAAGACCUCUUACUCAGAACAAAACUGCUUGGUUUUUUUAAUCUGAUCAUAAUCGAUCAGAAGCUCAACCUACACGCACUUCUGCUUAUUCCCAAUAUUUUCAGGCACGGACGUGCAUCCCCCUCCCAAGUUAGAACCGCGACAAAAUGAUCAAUCCUAUAGAAAAGUACUUUUGCUUUUAACGGAGCGUUUUGCAAGUAUCCGUGGGGAGAAGCAAAUGAAAGCUCAGACAAUGACAAAAAAUCUAAAGUUUUGCCAAUCGAGAAAUUAUUAUAAUUUCAUCCCAAUUCAACUCAUGAAUCUUGCUAAAUAAAUUCAAAAUAAAAUGUGGCAGAUUGAAAUAUCGCAAGCCGAAAUUUACCCAUAAUUAUAGGUAGCAUGUGACGAGAUACUCUAUUAGAGCAAGCCCCACAGUGAUGAGGACUUAUCGGUGAUGAGGAAUGUGAAAGCAGGCCCGCGAGAAUCGGCGGUAUUAGCGACAGCCAAAGGCGCCUAGUCGAACACGUAAUAAAUUGAUGAUACGCUUGGACCAGCAAAUAAUAAAAUGGACAUGAAGCUUUCAAGAGUCCUCUUUUCAUCACUCCAUUAUUCCGGAAUCAGCGUCAUCAGCACCUAUAUUUCCAAGAGCAUCUAAAAGGAGACAUUCGUUUCUUAUAAGGUAGCCAGCUGCAUUUAUUGCACGCUCCUCGUGCAUUCAUAUUAACCCCAAUCCCAUCAUUUGACUUUAACACCACGCUAGGGUGCAAAACAGCCAGGUGGAGGAACCUCGACGAGCUCGUCCAUUCAAAGUAACAUCAACCAUAAACUCAAACUUGUCAUCUCUAUAGGUUGCUGCUGGAAGCAGAUCAAGUUCCCAUUGGGCAAAGCUAACAAAAUCCGACCUCUGAACUGAGCUUUUCGAAACAACUAAACUCGCUCUUAGUUGAUAACAAUCUGUUUUUGCGUAGAUGUUUAUUCUUUUUUGUUUUUGUUUUUGACGAACGUAGAUGUUUAUUCUAUGCAUAUUAAAAUGUGCAACACAAGAAGGACGAGAAACAUGAAAAGGGUAAGGGACAGCUGGCGGCAUCUGGAGCAUCAGCAACUUUGCGUAUGUGAACGUCAAGAAACAUAGCACCCUCUUCAUGUUUAUUUAUUUAUUUAUUCUUUAAGGUAAAUAACACCCGCCACCUCUAUAAAAACCACAUAUAUUUAAUGGCUAUCCAUAGGUAUUAGAUCCCACACAUCCAUCUCACACCUCGAUGCUUCAAACAGUCCCUCUCUCUCCCCCCCUCUCUCUAUACUAAAUCCCGCCUCUCUUUCUUGUAAGUAUAGAAAGAAAGCCUUCCUUUUUCAUCCACCCAAAGCAUUUUGCUUCUCCAACAUGGAGCUCCACAUUCCAACACAACUCGCAAUCUUUUCCAUUUCCAUCAUCCUUUUGACUCGCUCUUGCUCUUCUUCUUCUUUGCCGUGGUCGUCACUGUCGAAUUUGCACCCGCUGGUGGUUGACUCCGCGCUUGAGCAUCUCAACUAUACCGCCAUAUCUGAGUUCCGGUUACUAAACAGAAGGCAAAUUCUCCAGUGCCACGACCCAAAUAGGUAUCUCCAAAUCAAUGUCAGCGGCGACACCGCCCUUAAGGAUGAAGAGUAUCUCACGGUUAAGGUGACCGGAGUCUUGGUUCCAGCGGACUCCGACUGGGUUGCCAUGAUAUCUCCAUCGAACGCCGAGUAUGAAUCAUCCUAACAUCUAGUUUUGAACUGUAUUCGUACAUGUUAGCGGUUACUCAUUCACGUUCCUUCUUUUCCUUUCGUUUUGUUCUUGUGGGGUGCAGUGUCUCAGAUUGUCCAUCAAAUAAGGCUCGAUAUGCAGAGACCGGUGAUCUUAGUAAUCUUCCUCUUCUAUGCCAUUAUCCUGUCAAGGUAACCUUAUCUAACCUUGAAUCAUGCCUUGUUGAUGACUUAUCUUCCUUCUUCUUGAUAAGUAAUGGAAACAUAAAGUAGUGAGGGGCUAAAGAAAAAAUACUGGAAUUUACAAGGGCCGAAGAGAAAAGCAACUGAAAAAGAACUCAUGCGGCACAUGCCUUGCUCCUUUUGCCAAGACUUUGGUUCGGUCCUCACAAGUGACCCCCAAAGUCAUGUCAUGGUGUUCAUAGCAUUCACGACACUAUCAUAUUUCAUUUGGUUAGGGACAUUUUGAGUUGCAACAUAACCAAAAAAUUAAUAUACUUGAUAAGACUCUUCCAUGAUUGUGUUGUGGUGGUAGAUAAAAUCGGAUUAAAAUGAUAAAAUAUGUGAAAUUCAGUUUACUUUUCGAAAUAUUCUAUUGAUGUUGCAUUUUCUCUAAGUACCAUUAACCUAAUUUAAUUAAUUCAACUAUAUAUAUUUAUACCAACCCAACCUCAAGCUUUAAUGGUCGUAGCUGCUUUUAAGGUUUAAAGUAUUCCUCGUCAAGUCUUCAUCUGCCGAAAGAAGCGGAGAAGAUAGGAGUCCUUUUUAUUUUUAUUUUUAUUUUUAUUUUUAUUUUGGUCAAAAGUUUCUCCUUUUGGGUUCAAAAGAGAAUCAAAAGAGUCUUUUGUUCAAAAAUCUGCUAAAGUUUCAAUCAAUAAAGUCAGAUUUGGUUCUGGUUGAAAUAUUUUGCGAUGUUCUUUAUCGAAUUCUUUUGUCAUUGUUAUUUUCAUUUAAUAAAUAAGUAAUUGACUUAUAGAACCAUCCUUCAAUAAUUUACGUAACUUUUUUAACGAAAUUUAUGUACUUUUUUCAUUGACCAUGAAAACUCCAAACUUUGAUGAGUACAGAAAAUAAUGAAAAUACUUCUCAGAGUUGGUUUUUUAUUAGUCAAAUGAAGACAUUCCAUAUGUAACUUAGCUAAAAAAAAAAAAAAAAUUUGAGUAAUGCCAGAUAUUAAUGAAGGUUUACAAUAGUUUUCUUUCUUUUUGUUGUUGUAUUUUUUGGUACAUAUAAGAUGCUGCAUGACGCCAGUUACAUUGAAUAUUUAAGUAGGCCCUUUUUUUUUUUAUCAUUAUCAAAAUGAUUUAAAAUUUCAUUUAUUGCAACCACCCUGGUAUUAUACCUACAUCUUUUAUUUUCUCUUUUUGCAACGUCCCAAAUUCCCUAAAUUUUCUGGUAUACCUACCAUCACUUGUCUAUUUAGUUUUAGAGUAGGAGAAAUGUUUCCACUUCAACUUUUUGGUGCACGCUUAUGUGCAUCAUUUUCAGGCACAAUACUUGAGCAAGGAUGCGGACUAUCUGAGCUGCAAGAAGAAGGAGUGCAAGAAAUACAAGGACGGUCAAUGUGUGGUGACAACAUGCGGCGGCACCUUGACGUUUCACGUUGUAAACAUCAGAACCGACAUUGAGUUUGUGCUGUUCGCCGGGGGUUUUGCAACACCAUGUGUAUUGAAGAAAUCGAACUCUUUGACUUUUGCUAACCCGAACCAACCGCUCUAUGGCCAUCUCUCCAGCAUUGACUCGACUGGGACCUCGGUAAGCACUGAAUUGGCUAACAAUUGGUGUGUUGAGCUUGCGGGGGUCGUGUCGCCGACAUUUGGCUCUAUGAAUGUCAUGACAAAUGUCAAUUAUAUCAUUAGCCCAUGAAGUCGCGGUAACAUGCCUGCAUAACACACUGCGCCUGAGCGUGGAAUAACACUACAUAAAACACGCGAAAGCAAUGCAGACUGCGACUCGUAAUCAUACAUGCUUUAAUCUGCAGAUGAGGAUUACAUGGGUUAGUGGAGACAAAGAGCCCCAAGAGGUGCAAUACGGAGAUGGGAAAUCACAAACUUCCGAAGUUAGUACAUUCUCACAAGAUGAUAUGUGCAGUGAGUUAACCUCAAACCCUUACUUGAAAACUCUGUAAAUGCACUGGGACUUCCUUGUCACAUGCAAAACAAUUGAAGUGCCUUAUGAAGACUCAUUCUUCACUAAAUUUAGUUUUGUUGGUCUAAUUUUCAGCAGGUAAUGUGCUACAUAGUCCUGCCAAAGAUUUCGGUUGGCAUGACCCCGGUUACAUUCAUUCAGCCGUGAUGACAGGACUGCAGCCUUCUACCUCUUAUCCUUACAAAUAUGGAAGGUAGAAUCUCCUGACUGAAGCUGUUUUGCUUAUGAGACUGAUCGGUCUCAGAGCAGCUUGAGGUAUUCUUGCUGAGCAUAUUGCAAUAUCUCUGGCAUUUCUACUUGAUGCAGGGUCAUCGAAUCUGCAGUGAAUGUGAAUGAAUGAUAUGCAACGGACUUGUUCCUUACAAUAAUUGAUUAUGAAUUCACGACAUUAGGUAGAUGACAAAGCACCGGCAAAUGCUUCUAUAUGCCUUAGUUCUUAAAGAUGAAUUGUAGCUGCAUGUCUGAUCGAGAGAGGAUCAAGUACACGGCUUUCAAUAAAAAGGAGCAUCUUGUUAUCAUGACAUUAGAGUAAUACAUCGCAUGACACUGCAGAUGAAUUUCCACAAGUGGAAGUAGAUGGAGUGAUCUAUUUUUCACUGGCUUGAAUUAGAUGGUUAGAAAUUGAAUUGAUGAGAAACUCUUAUAUCAUUUGUUGGCGUAUCCGAUUUAUUAUUGGCGAUGGUUUUAUGAUAUCUAGUGAUUCAGCGGGUUGGAGUCAACAAGUUCAGUUCAGGACACCGCCAGCAGGAGGAUCAAAUGAACUCAAGUUUCUUGCAUUUGGGGAUAUGGGAAAAGCCCCUCUCGAUGAUUCAGUCGAGCACUACAUUCAGGUAAACAUGCAUUCCAUAGAAUGAAAAAUCACAUUUCUGAUUGCAACAUUGAAAAGUUGCUAUCCAUACUGGACGUACACUAGGAGGAAUGUGUAUCCUUCAAAAUUUUAAGAAUGCUGAUGGAAGGGACAAAAUGCCACGAUUUGGGGGGAGUAUCAUAUUGAAAACCGGCUCUCCAUGAAACAUUAUUAGCACGUCACAUUCAUCUGAAUUAACUGUAAAGGCACAGAUUAAGCUGUUUGCAAGAAUUCAAACUCCUGAUUAUGAUGGUAUCCUAAAAUGCGACUUUAUAUAAUUCUACAGCCAGGAUCAAUUUCGGUGGCGAAGGCAGUGUUGGAUUAUGUAGACUCUGGCAAUGUGGACGCCAUCUUCCAUAUUGGAGACAUAAGCUACGCCACCGGCUUCUUAGUGGAGUGGGAUUUCUUCCUCAACCUCAUCAGCCCUUUUGCUUCCCGAGUUUCGUACAUGACUGCAAUUGGGAACCAUGAAAGGUAACUAACUACUGCCAGUCGAUAUCCACCUCUUCCUGCAUAUUAUGGAAGACUCAGUAAACAGCUGAACCAACAUACUUAGCAGCAUGCAUUGAAGAUGAUUUAUAAGUUUCUUUACAUGAAGAGAUUAUGGGGGCUCUGGAUCCAUGUACUCAACUCCGGACUCCGGUGGGGAAUGCGGUGUUGCUUAUGAGACAUACUUCCCAAUGCCAACCCCAGCGAAGGACAAGCCAUGGUAUUCCAUAGAACAAGCCAGUGUUCAUUUUACUGUGAUUUCAACCGAACAUGACUGGUCCGAGAAUUCAGAGCAGGUAAGGGUGAUCGAGCUGAACCCUUUUGUUCUCACAUUUGCAUGUCGAUGAGCUGUCAUUUUAUAUCAUGGGAAUGUCAUGUUGUCAGUAUCAAUGGAUGAAAGGGGACAUGGCUUCAGUCGACCGAUCUAAAACUCCUUGGUUAGUUUUCACGGGGUAAGUACAUUUGCUUCUGGGUAAUUGUGAGUUUCACCACUUGAUUUUGCGUACUCUCAAACGAAAAAAAAAAAAAAAAAAAAUCUCAAGAAAACAGAGAUCAAGUGUAUCGGUUGCCUCUUGCAGGCACAGGCCCAUGUACACUUCUGGUUCUGGAGGAGGUGCUGACCAUAAGUUUCUUGAUGCUGUAGAACCGUUGCUAUUGGACAACAAGGCAACAUUCUAUUUCUUACUCCGGUUCUCAUGUAGAAUAAUCCGUUUAUUUGUGAGAUUGUACUCAUCAAGCAUUUGAAAUCACAGGUUGAUCUAGUUCUCUUCGGCCACGUUCAUAACUAUGAAAGAACAUGCUCGGUUUACCAAAAUGAGUGUAAAGCCAUGCCAAAGAAAGAUCAAAGCGGGGUUGAUACUUAUGAUCACAGCAAUUAUAGUGCACCUGUGCAAGUGGUUAUUGGUAUGGCCGGGUUCAGUCUGGAUAACUUCCUAGAUGAGGUUAGAGUCCGUUCUCCCUCACACCGUUGUAAAUAGUAAACCAACAUAGCUUUUUGUCUAAACCUGCACAAUUCUUUGGCAAUUUCUGAAAAUCUGUCCUUGUAUUCACCAGUGCUUAAUCCCAAUUCCAUUUCUUGCAUUUUCUUUGGCUGAAUGUUGCUUAGUCAAACAAUGCCGUCUUAACAACACCUUUCCGAUUUAUGGGCCUUGAAAUAUCCAGAUUCCAGAGAUUUUUAGCUCGCUGUUAAGAAAUUAAAUGCUGAUUCUGCUGCUCAUAUCAUUCAACUUGAUGCGGUUACAUGGGGAUUAUCAUUUAUGUUGCUCCCAUGAAUAAGAUCUGUAGAAGUGAAGGCCCGUUGAUUUUUUUGCAGCCAAGUGACUGGAGUUUGAUAAGGAUUUCCAAAUUCGGGUAUUUCAGAGGACAUGCAACUCCAGAAGAGUUACAACUAGAGGUCAGCACUCUCGAAUUUUCCGUCGCCCUUCCCACAAUCAUCAUUCGGUUUGGCUUUAUGACUGCUUACUCGAUUACAUAUGACUUCAUUUAUUGAGAAAUUGUUCUAGUCUGUUGUGAUGCUUUGAAAUUAGAAACUAUGUACAGUUUCUGAUGUCCUGCUCUCUAAGUAGAGUUUGGAACAUUAAGCAGCUACAUGUUACUGCAAUCAUGACGACCAUGCUUACAAGCUCAUUUAACUUCAAUCUACAUCUUGCCUGCAGUAUGUGAAUGCCGGCACGAGGAAGGUGGAAGACAUCUUCCGCAUCACUCGAUAACCCGACUUUUCAAGUCAACAGGAAGGCAUUGCAGGCAAUAACAAGCUGCCAUAGCUACAUAGUUAUACACUUCCACAUUGUACUUUACACAUUCAAAACAAACAGAUAACUUGUGCUGAUACACUAGCAAUAAAUCUUGAUUGUCCGUGCGACCUAAUUGAAUGCUCUUGAUUUGUCAAGAAGGAAUACAAAUUCAUGAUUUCAGUACUCUUGUGAGCAAUCUAACGAGAUGUGUUUAAUGCAAGAGUGGUCUCUCCUUCCGAGUGAGUUUAGAACCACGAACUCUUGAUAGUUAUCAUAAUCUUUCAAAAAUUGUUAUAUAUUUAUGUAAAAUUCAGUUAUUUCAACUCAUGAAUUUUCGGAAUUUUCGUCAUGAAUGUGAUGCAAUGUAAUAAAAUUCAGGAAUUGCUUAGUAAUCCUAAAAAAUUUUGAAUUAUUUAAGUCACUAUCAAUAAUGAGUAAUGACACUCGACCAACCAACCUUGGUCAUGAAUAUGAUCAGCAAAAGCAUAAUCUUCUAAAUUAAUGUCACUGACCUAAUUGACAAAAAUAUCUCCCCUCUCUCAUCCGAAAAACAGCCGUCCAAUCCAUACAUACCACGCUCAACCGUCAAUUUGAGAAUCGUUGAGUCGCGACAUAUCACUCUAUACCUUUGCUUAAGGAUUUACUUCUCAUUUGACUUGUCUCACCAAUUCACGUAGUUGCAGCUGCAGCCACAACUCAAUUACCUAGCUAGACAUUUUUCUUAUAGGUAAUUUUUGAAAUUCUUUCCAGCCGGAAUGAUUUAUCACAAUUUCCUUUGUGAAGUCGUAUUGAUGAAGUUCUAAGUAGUAUUGACACCAACACAUGACACGUGGUACGACACGACAAGCCGACACGUCGUUUGUCAAAAAACAGAGAAUUUCGAUACGUUGAGACGCUUUGUAUAUUAAACAUAUAUUUUUUAUAUACAUAAUAAAUUAUCAUUUUUAUGAUUUUUUCAAUCAAAUUAAUUUUAUUGAAAUUCACAAAUAAAUAAAUAAUUAAAAAAGCCUAGAAUGAAUUUACACUAAAAACAUUAAUCCACCAUUUAUUAAUAUCAUUAUUGUUUCAAUUUGACAAAUUCAACUCUAUUCAAAUAAUUCAUUAAACUUGGAGAAAAAAUAAUCAAUUGAUAUUCCGGACUCGCAUGUUAGAUUUGUUGGAAGAGUAAAAAAAACUUAAGGGGUGAAUUGUAUAUCAUGAAAAGUGGGAGUUAAAAGAGAAGAGAAGAUUAGGUUUUUCUUCAUUCUUCAUUUAUUUUUAUUUUUUAUUAUUGUAUUUCAUUUUUUCACAUAUAUACAUUUUGACAUCUCAUUUAUUGAAAAUUUUUAAAAUUGAUCUCGAUAUCGGAAUCACAUAUUAGAAACUUGUAUGUUGGAAUUCCAACUCGAGUGUCGGAAAGUGUUGGAAACAUUGACCAGGUGUCGGAUUUUCUGAUACGCGUUGACCGAGUGUCGAAGAGUGUUGAACACGUGUCGAAGUGUCUGACACGACACGAAGGCUCUUAGAGAGUGUUGGUGUUUCAUAGAUGAAGUUUAUUGGAACGCUAGCGGCAUAUUGCCUUUGUUUGACAACUUCAAGCUCUCGUGUUCGAGCCCGACCCACUUCAUCCAAGUCCUUCACUACGCUCUACGAUCUGUGAAGCACUUUGCGAAAUCCAUGGUUCGCAAGAUGGAGACGGCGAAUUGGAAAUCGAACAGAUCCGAAAAUACCGGCUUUGUCCAUGGCUGGUCGGUAAUGUUGCAAUUCACGGAGCGUUGUCCAUGGCCUCAAAAGUGAAAAAAGAAAAGGAAGAAGAUAGUGAGAGGAGAGAGUAACGAGAGAGGGGGUGACCGGGGACAGAGAAAAGAUCUGAAAAGUGGGCUCGGAUUCACCAUGUGUUAAUCUCUGGAUGGUUCAAUGCAAAUCCUAUUGUGGUGUGUUUAAUGCACAUAACAUUUUCUCGCAUUGCAGGGGUCCAUCUGCCAGGAUUUCGCUUUCCAGGUGAGUACUUGUUUUCAUAUGUGAAGGAACUCCUGACAAUAUCAAGCUUAAAGAAGCUCGGGCAGGGUAAUUUUAGGAUAUCUGGGAAUGAGAGAUGCUUCCGUGACUCCCUUCUUGCGUCCCCUCUCCGCUGCCAGAGUAGUAUCUGGUUGAGCUUGAAGCUUCUCGCACAUCAUUUGGCCUGCCAAAAGUCAGCAAGAGAGCUAUGCAAUUAAUGUACAGCUUCCAGGUAAUUGUGAAUGAGAUGUCAAAGAAGGUGGAAGUACGUCAUAGUGAAUUUGUAGGCCAUUUCUGGCCAAAGAGCAUCUAAAAUGAUGGUUGUGACGUCAUGGAGCUGAUGGAGGUAAGAAGCUCAAAAGCUCUCUGCAGAGAGGACAGGCUACCGAAACUACAUUGAGCCUUUUUAUCGAAGACAAAAGUAACUAUCCUCUUGACAAGGAUGAAGAAUAUACAACAAGCAAUCGAUUGAAGCUGUGGUCUCAAGGGAAGAUAUCUUUUUCCAUCAUUCUCUUAUCCCUAUUGUGACUUUCCCGGAGUUGAGCUAGGAAAGCUAAUGAACUACUAAAUAGAAACGAAGAUUGGUCUCACGAGACAAUCACUCCUUUAGCACGGACUAUUUCAAACUUUACUAGUCGCUUGAACCCAAUUCAACAUGCAUUUAAACUUAUCUCUUAGAUCUUCUACUAAUCAGUUAUUAGUUGAUCGGACACCCAAGAAAAAUGUAGGAAUGCAUUUUAUUUUUACGAACUAGAGAUUUAAUAGAUUCGUGGACUUGAUUUUGUUAGAUUAAUUUAACGCUUUUUUGAUGCAUUUUCUUUUUAUUUCGGAGAUGUUUCUGCAUGCAAUCUUAAUUAAUUUUAUCUGAUGCCAUUAACAUAUGAAGGAUGAUCAUGUGGGUGCGUAAUCAAGAACAUAAUACUCAAUAAUCAAAAUAGUAAAUAGAUUGCAAAAAAAAUUAAAAAAACUAGAUGCCCUAAGAAAGCGAAGCGUAUCCCUAUUCAUCACCAAAGAUUCCGCCAAUUAUUACUAUAAAAAAUAUGUAAAUAGAAUGGACGAAUGUUAUAAUAACGGCUUACUAAUAUGCAACCUACACUAAUUUUUUGUAUAUUUUAUAACUUAAUUAACAUGUAGGACUUAGAGAACCCGCAACUGCAUCCUAAAAUUCUAUGCGACAGGAAUUGACUUACACGCACUAACUAGAUUAUGAGUUUUUCAUGGGUGUUAUUGUUGGCACUUCAAUUUUAUCAUUUUAUUUAAGACUUAAUGUUAUAGAAAAUUAGGAAUUAGUCUUUAACCCCUAAAUAAAAAUUAAUUUUCAUCAAAUUGCAUCACAUAGAGAUAUUAGGAGCAUUUACAUUACUAUCACUAAUUAAUAAAAUUUUUAAAAAAUAAAAAAAUAUCGAAAAAAUCGAAUUUUUUUAAUUAAAAAAAAAAAGGUAGAUUGGGCUAGGCCCGGUCCUUUUCCGUUCUCCUCUCCUCUGAAUCUUUUUCCGCCUUGGCCCAAGCCCAACCUCAUUUUCUUUUCCCCAAGCCCGGCCCCUUCUCUAUUUCCUCUCUCCUUCACUCCCUCAUGCUGGUCUUGCUUUUGGCAGUAAAGAAACGUACAAACCAAAGGAGGCAAGGAAUCGUGAGGGGGAAGAUGGCGGCGUGAUCUACGGGUCGGCAUCAAUCUGACCGGCAAGCUGGCGGUGGCAGAAGCCAAGCACCCCGGCUGUGAGAGAGGUUUUUUUUUUUUUUUUAGGUUAUGGUUUUUUCUAUAGAUUUUGGCUCCGAGAGCUCGAUUUAGAGAGGCAGACUGAGAGAGUGAGCAAGAAGAGAGAGCAAGCAGGCUGGUCCACUCGCACGAAGAAGGAAAAAGGGGCGAGAUUUGAGUGUUGGAGAGAGUCGAGGGCGAGCUAGAGAGAGUGUGAGAUUGGGAAAGUCCCUGGUCGUUGCCAGAGGCUCGGUCGUCAGUCGCCAUCCGUCGCUACAUGUCUCAUCCAAACCAGGUUGGCCUCCUUGAGCUACAUAUGUUCAUUUUUGAGGCGUCGGGCCGGAGCUCGCGUCCAACCGGUUUGCGCGAGCUCCGAUUUGUCAGAAAAGGAGAUGAAAUUUCGUAAGAGGCAGAAGAUGAAGAAGAAGAAAUUGUCUCCUUUUUUCAUUACUUUGAUUUCUGUACAACAUCAUGUAUUUAAUUACAAAGAAGAAAUUAAUAAAGGAAGUUAAAAUUUUCAUAUCUUUUCCUAUAUUUCUAAUCCUAAAAUAUACUUGAUUCCCUAUUAAUACAUAUCACAAAAUCAUAUCUUCCAACGCUCCCCUUCAAGCUGGUGGCUUGUAUAUGUCCAAGAUGCCUAGCUUGUUUAGAAGAUAUGUAUGUUGUCUUUGGUAAAGAGGUUUAGUAAAUAUAUCAGCGGGUUGCUCCGAGGUCCUGAUUCCUCUUGUCUCGACAAUUCCUUCUUGAAUCUUUUCUUGAGUGAAAUGACAAUCGACUUCUAUAUGUUUUAUCCUCUCAUGCAGUACAGGAUUUGCUACAAGCUUGAGUGGUGAAUCAUUAUCAUAGAAGAGUAAAGUCGGUCCUUUAACGCGAGCCUCGAGAUCCAGAAGUAGACCCCUUAACCAGACUAUUUCACAAACAGUCUUGGCCAUAGAUCGGUAUUCGGCUUUAGCUGAAGAUAAAGAUACAAUAAAUUGCUUCUUUGUCUUCCAUGAAAGUAAUAAUUCCCCAAAUUUGAUGCAGAAACCAGUGAUAGACCUCCUGCUCAUAGGACAUGUGGCAUAAUCUGCAUCACAAUAGGCCGUCAUUUCCAUGUUACACUUCCGAGAAAGAAGUAUUCCCAAACCUAGACAUGUCUUCAAGUAUCUCACAAUCUUCAAGGCUGCAUUCAUGUGAGAUUACUUCGGACUGUGCAUAAAUUGACUAAGAGUCUGCACUACAUAGCAAAUGUUUGGCCUAGUCAUGGUGAGAUAUAUUAAUUUUCCUACAAGUCUCUAAUAUCCUGAGGGAUCUUGUAAUGAUGGAUCAUCCGAAGGAGAGGAUACGCCAGUGUCAUAGUCGACGGAGGCCAGUUUGGCAUUUUGCUCGAUAGGAAUGACUGAUGGUCUACAGCCUGAUAAUCUUGCUUUUAAUAUUAUCUCCAUCACGAAUUUCCGCUAGCUUAAUGAGAUUCCCUGAUCUGAACGAGCUGUCUUAAUCCCAAGAAAAUACUUAGGUGGCCCUAAGUCUUUGAUAUGGAAAGUAGAAUGCAGAUACUCUUUAAGUUUCUUUACAGCAGAAUCAUCAUUCCUCAUGAUAAGGAUGUCAUCAACAUAGAUCAUCAAGUAAAUAUAUGACAUACCUUUUGUCCAGGUGAAUAAGGCAUAGUCAUACUUGGACUGAUUGAACCCAGCGGCUAUGAGUGCAUUGGUAAACUUAGCGUACCAUUGUCUGGAAGCUUGCUUCAAUCCAUAAAGAGAUUUGCGGAGACGACAUACCUUCGACUCCCCCUGUUUCUGUAAUCCUGGUGGAAGCUCUAUGUAUAUUUCUUCAUCCAGAUUACCAUGCAGGAAGGCAUUAUGGACAUCCAUUUGAUGUAAUGGUCAGUCACGAAAAGUAGCAAUAGAUAGAAAAGUACGAACCAUGACAUCCUUUGCUACGGGUGAAAAAGUUUCAUGAUAGUCGAAACAUUCUCGCUGGGUGAAGUCUUUUGCCACCAACCGGGCUUUGUAUUGUUCCACAGAGCCAUAUGCUCUGUAUUUUAUCUUAUAUACCUAUUUGCAUCCAAUAGGUUUGCGAUGAUCAGGUAAUGAUACAACAUCCCAAGUAUGAUUGUCUAUCUGGGCGUGUAAUUCAAAUUCCAUGGCCUUCUGCCAACGAGGAUCAUCUUUUGCCUCAUUAUAACUAGAAGGUUCUUGAUCUUCAGAAAUACGGCUUAUGCAACAUAGGUGUUCCGAUGAAAAUCCAUCAAAUGAGACAUAAGAUGAGAUAGGGUAACGAGUACUUGAUGAUCUUGAAGAACCGCAUAUAUAAUCUUUCGUCCAAGUUGGUGGUCGAGUAGCUCGAUGAGAACGCCGCUAAGGCUCCUGUGGUGUUGUGGAUAAUUCUUUAGUAGUUAUUGUUUCUGAAGUAUCCCCCAGCUGUGCUGGUUCUUCAUGCGAUGACUCUUCUAUAUGGGGCUGCUCAAUGGAAUCUUCAAUGGUAUUCUCAAAAGGUGUUGGAGGCAAGAUAUCGACUUCUCUUGAAGGGGAAGUAAUAAUGAAUGCUCCUCCAGAAGAUGAAUCUUCUUCCAACAAGAAUUGCCCAUUUGUCUUCUCAUCUUCAGAUAAAGAUGUUAAUGAAAAAGGAAAAACAUCUUCAUGAAAAACAAUAUCCCUAUUGACAAAGAAAUCUCCUGUAGAUGGUGCAUAAAGCUGAUACUCCUUUUGCAAUGUUGGAUAGCCCAUGAAUAUGCAUUGUUUAGCAUGCAGUGCCAUCUUAUCUCUAUGGCCUACUGUAGUUACAUAACAUAAACACCCAAAAACUCUGAGAUGACUCAGAUCCGGUUUUCUCCCAUAUAAUAACUCAAAAGGUACCUUUCCCUUUAGGAUGCGUGAUGGCAUGCGAUUGAUCAGAUAUAUUGCAGUGACCACACAAUCUCCCCAAAAUUUUUCAGGAAUAGAAGUUUGAAAUUUAAGUGCACAUGCCACUUCUAAAAGAUGGCGAUGCUUUCUCUCAACAACUCCAUUCUUCUGGGGUGUGUAAGUACAAGAACUUUCAUGCAAUGUCCCAUUUACAGAGAACAAGGAAGCACAUUCAGCAUUGAAAAAUUCUUUUCCAUUAUCAGUGCGUAUCCGACGGAUUGGUUUUUGAAAUUGAGUUUUGGAUAAGGAAAGAAAGGUCUUUAAAUGAGAAAAGACCUGAUUUUUGGAUUGCAUGAAGAAAAUCCAUGUAACACGAGUGUAGUUAUCCACGAUUGUGAGGAAGAACCUAGACCCAUCAUGAUUUAAAGUAUGAUAAGGCCCCCAAACAUCAGCAUGAAUUAGAGAAAGAAUGUCAUUUGCUCGAGAAGUGCUAUUCUGGAAAGGAGCACGUGUUUGCUUAGCCAUGGGACAAAUGGGACAUUUAGGACAAGGAAAUGAUGCAUAGUGGUCCAAUCUUUUAUGAUUAAGAAAUUUCAUACCAUUGGUAGUAGCAUUACACUGAGAAUUAUUGAAUUCAACAGGAGAUAAUUUAAAAAGAUGCGAAAAAUCCACCCAAAAAUAUAGCACUUGGUUGACUCUACCCAAGCCCAUCGGUUUGCCAGUCGAAAGGGCCUGAAAGAAACAUUUAUCAUAAUAGAAAAGAAUGUGAUAUGAAUUUUCUUCACAGGCUCAAGCAAUUGAGAUUAGACUGAAAUGGAAAUCAGGUACGUAGAGCACAUUUUGAAGAGUAACAAGGGAACUAAGCUUUACAGUCCCAGUCAUGGUGACUUUGGUGGUAUUUCCAUUUGGAAGUUGUACUGAUAUGGAGAAAGAUAAUUUUGUAAUGUCUGAAAGAAAAACCUUAUCACAGACUAUGUGGUCACUAGCACCUGAAUCAAUAAUUCAUGCAUCCUUUGAAAUUGAGUUAAUCAAACAAUAGGAUGUACCUAUGAAGCUGCCUCCUUUAUUAGAGGGAUCCAAUUUCUUCAAGGUUUCCAUCAGCUCAUGAUAUUGUUCAUGGGUAAUUGAUUUUCCCAUUGGUUGACCCGAUACUUGAAAAAUUGAGGAGAAUUUCCCUUUUUCUUUUUCUCCUGGCUUUCCAUGCAAUUUCCAGCAAUUCUCAAUUAUAUGGUGCGGGCGCUUACAAUAAUCACAAUACAUUUUACCUUUUCCUCUUGGCCCAUUAUUUUUUGCAUUUGAUGUGGGCCUAAUGGUGGAUUGAAAAGCUUGGGCCGAAAUGGGCCCACAUAGGUCGUCGGAUCCUACAAAGAACGGGCCCUGCGAGCCAUCCAGCCCAUGAAUGUUGGGUGAUCGUGAGCUGUCUGAUCCAAUUAGAUAGGUGCCACGCGAGCCAUCGGAUGUGGUUAGAUGGAUGCCACGCUAGCCGUCGGAUGCGGUUGGAUGGAUGCCACGUGAGCCGUCCGUCCAGUCGGUCCCUGGAAGAGGUGUGAUCCGUCCGAUUGGUGGAAGUAAUCUCCACUAUCCGUUCCUCUCCUUAAAACUGACCUAGGGUUUUCAUUUUCGAAAAACCCUAGAUCUACCUCUCUUCUCCCCGUGCUCCUCUGUGAUGAGCGGAAAUGGCUCCUGGCCGCUAGGACCAUUAUAUCUCCUCCCUUGCCGUGGUCCACCGUCCUCUGUUGGCUCUCCUCCUAUAUGGCGAGUUGGUAGAUACGGCUGAGACUUGGCAGAGGCUCCAUGGUCAGUAUUUGAGAGUGGAAUGACAGGUAUGCCUUGUUGAGAAUGAGGAGGAACCUCGUCGCCUUCUCCCUUUCUCGCAUUUGUUUGUAUUAUUGUUGGAUAUGGUCGGGCUAGUCAAACUUUUCCUCGGCUGCCUCUAAUUCAUUCCAUAGACCCGAAAUUUUGUUGUACACCGUUGUGAUGGUCAUGUUCCCUUGUUUCAGAUAUAAAAAUUUGUUGUAUGAGAGAAUUUUUUUUAACUUGGUCAAGUUUUCCGUACAUCUCCCUUAUGUUUUCCAACAUCUUUUUUGGAUCCUUCAUCAGGGGAAGCUUGGCUGCGACCUCGGGCGCGAUGCAGUUUCCAAUCUAGGUCCUAACUAGUUGGCUGCAUCUCCUCCAGAGCCAUGCCAUUCUCUCGUCGAACGGAAUCGGAAACGAUCCGUCGAUGAAAACCUCUUUGUCUUUCGUUACAAGUGCUUGCCGGAAUUCGCGCGACCAACUUGAAUAAUUAUCUUCACUUGUUAGUUGCUGACUUAUGAUCUUCAGUUCUGGUUCGUUGCUGUUUGUUGUAUACAACGAAUUGCUAGGUUCCGGCUGGCCACUGGUAGCGAGGAUCUGGUAUGGGAAGAAACCUGGUGCAGGAGUCGGGUAGGGAUUUGUGCCCUGACCCGAAUCGCCCAAGCCAAAUCCGUGAUCCGCAUUUUAAAAACCCGGGUAGGGAUUCGUUCCCAUACCUGGUCCAGUCGACCUGCCUGUCUGCUUCGGGCCGAUGGUAGGAUUUGCCCCAUCAUUGGUUGGUAGACCUCCAUCGGCUUGCACAUUGUUGUGGUAGCCAGGCGAUGAUGUAUUGGGGAUAGACCCAGGAUACCAUGGAUACGGUAUCCAUUGGUAGGGGUAGCCCGUGAAUGGUUGCCUUGCAUUAGCCUGAGCCUGCUGUUGCUACUGCACGUGCGGAUGUUGGGUCUGGAUUUGCCUUUCUUGUUGUUUUGAUGUAGGGACUACAGUAGGCGAAUCUUGGUCUCCCAAGGCUUGUAUUGAAGCUUCUGUUGCAGAUUGGUCAAUGGUAGUGGAGGUAAGAUCUUGUGGUCUUGUCAUGUUGGAAAAAAAAAUUUGAUUCCUCUAUUAACUCCUUUUGCAGACGAGGUUCCUUUAGGCAAUUAGACACUUUGAUUCCUUCGGCAACACUGCUAUGGAACUUGGAGUUUGCUUAUGAGGUAAUCGGAGCGGAAGCAAAGAAAUUAGUUCAGAACCAUAGAUGGCUCUGAUACCAUGUCAGAAAAGGAGAUGAAGAAAUUUCGUAAGAGGCAGAAGACGAAGAAGAAGAAAUUGUCUCCUUUUUUCAUUACUUUGAUUUCUGUACAACAUAAUGUAUUUAAUUACAAAGAAGAAAUUAAUAAAGGAAGUUAAAUAUUUUCCUAUCUUUCUAAUCCUAAAAUAUACUUGAUUCCCUAUCAAUACAUAACACAAAAUCAUAUCUUCCAACAAGGUUUCAUUGGUCCUCGGGUUGUGGCCGAAGCUGUUUGUCCUUCCUUCGUAUCUAUUCCAAAUGCGACCAACUAGCCUCUAAGUUGAUCUUGAACGUUUCUCGCGCAUGUUGUGUUGAUGUUUGCCUCGAAUGAGUCUGCGUUUCUUGUUGGCCGUUGCAUCCCAAGUGUUUGAUAAAAUGCUCGAAAGAGAACAGAAAGAAUAUUUCACGUUUUGACAUGGGAUCGAUUUGUUCUUGCUCUUAUAUACGCAAAAUUAUAUUUGUUUUGCUUGCUUCCAUUGAGUUUUUGUACGUUUAUCGUGAAAGAAUCAUGUAUCGUCGAGUGGUCGUGUUUCUUUGUUCCGGCAAAUGGGUUAAUGGUUGCCAGAGUUCGUGGCCGACGGUGGUUGGUGCCGGUUGGAAUGGACGACCGGUAGAUGGUGGUGGUUCGGCGGUGGAACGCCAGUUGCUUCGGUCGGUGUUGCCGUUUGGAUGGGCUUCGGUGAGGAACAAUAUCUCGGUGAAGAAGGGGCUUCGAGCGUGCAGAGAACCCACAAAGAAGGAGAAGGCUAGAAGAAGAAAAGAAAAGAUUAAAGGAAAAAGAAAAAUGAAAAGAAGAAUUAAAAAUUAAUAUUGAUAUAAAAAUGAAAAAGAAAACAAAAAAAAGGGUUUUAUGAAAUAGUUUUUGUCCGUCUUAGGUUAUGUUCGGGUUGUUGGACCGGGCUUGCGGGUCGAAUUGGGUUUAUCUGGUCCGAACCCGUUUAUCUGAACAUAAUAAUGUUAAAUAUUAAAAAUAUAUUAAAAAAUUUCAAAAUUCAAAAAAUUUCAAAGAAAUAAAAAAUUUCAAAAAAAUUUCCGAAAAUUCAAAAACUCUCUAAGAACAUUAAAAAAAUUCAAAAAAAAACUUUCAAAAAAUAUUAAAGAAUUCGAUUUUUUUCAAAUUUAAAAAAUUAGAAAAUUCAAAAAAUUCAAAAAUGUCAGAAAAUUCAAAAUUUCAUUAAAAAUUACAAAAUCCCAUUCCUUAAAAAUAAGAAAAAAAAGACUUUUUGAGCUAUUUUUUUUUUUUUUACAAAAAUAGAAGCUCCUUAACUCUAAAAUUGUGCUAAAAAAUUAAGUAAACUCUUAAGGAUUUACUUUAGGGUUUUAAUUGUCCCUAAAGACAAUUACUCUUGUUUGCAUGCUUUUGCUAUUUGUGGCUCCCUUUAGUUACAAUCAACAUUUAUCUUUUCCUUAACAUUAAGUUCUAGCUAUCCCAUGAAAUGUAUUUGUCGCGAUCAAUUUUUCGGGUGUGGACCACCUAGGUUUUGGCUAAUGGAUUUAAGCCUAGACUUAACUCGGGCUCUCCCAAGCCCAUAUCAAUUCGCGACUUAAGUUCAAGUUUUUUAACAUGCAAAUAGAUUUUAUCUACGAGUCGCCACUAAUUAGUUUACGGUAGGUCGAUUAGACACCUACGUAAAAUAAUGGGAGGAUUAUUUUACUCCUACGAACCAGAGACUUCAAAAAUGUUACACUAGACUUUGAGUACGGGGACUUGGUUACACUAGAUUUCUCUAAUACCCUUUCGGUACCAUUUCUUUUUAUUUUCAAAAAUGUUUUUGCAGGCAGCUUAAAUUGAUUUUAAAUUGAUUUUCCUAAUAUGUGAGGUAAUCUUGCGGGUGCGCAUUCCACCAAUUUAACACCCAGAUAAACAAUAAAAAAAAUUACAAAAAAAACUUACCUCAAAGCAAUGAAAGCAUCUGCGUUGUUAGAUCAUAAUUUACAUCAACAUCCUAGAUAUGAUUUCGAAUUAACACACAAUUUCUUUUUUGUUUUUUUUUUGUUUUCACUUGAUUAAUGAAAAUCCUGCAAUAUGCAAUGUAAUAUUAACUAAAUGAACUAACUCUAAUGAUAUGCAAUUUCUAAUUAAAUGGACCUAGUAACAAUCACUAAAUGACAUGCAUUUCAUGAAUCUAAUCCUAUAUGACAUGCGCAUGAUUUUUUGUAUUUUUUUUAUUCGUAAUUAAAAAUAACUAAUAAUAAAAAUCUAACUAAAGUGAGAUAUUAUCUAUUUUAAGUUAGGAAAUAGACUUAUCUGAAUCUUAUCUUAACUUCGAAAUUUAUCUCGACAUGCAAUUUAAUUCAAAGAAAUUAUCUAGCCUAGAUACCAUCUAAACAUGCAUUCUAAUGUAACCAGAAAAGAAUCUAAUUAUUCUAUCAUGCAAUUCUAUCAGGAAAUUAAUUCUAAUAUAUAUGAUAUGCAAAUGCAAUCUUUUUGUAUUUUCGAGAUAAAUAAAGCAAUUAAAAGAUAAACACUAAAUCAUUCAGAAUUAUCACAGAUAUCAUACAUCAUUUGAAUAAGGGAAUAAUAUCCAAAUAAGCUUGAUUAUAUUGCUAAUAAAAUUGAUAAAUUGAUCUUAAGUCUUAAAGAUCAAUAUAUCAAUUUUAUUUCCACGUGAUUAAUUAUUCCAUCUAAAGCCUUAUAGAUGUAAUAAAAAAUCGGUGUGCGGUUGCAAAUUAGGCAGUAAAAUAUAAUUGGGAACGCAUCGAUAAUUCAAAUACGCACGUAAGAUAUUGAAAAGCAUGUAUUAGGCAACAAAAUAUCUAAAUCAAAUUUAGAUAUGAUAAUUACCUAAUUCUGCCAAUGAUAUUACCACCACAAAUGAUAUUACCAAAUUUGGACUGAGUGGAAUCCGCUCAAUGGGUGACUGGCGGUGCGUGGUGGUGCUUGGCCUCGGUUGAUGGUGCGGUGAGGAUCAGGGCUUUGUGACUCACGGGCGGACAGGAUGGUUUGACAUCGAUGCCUCACUGGAAAAUCUGCAAAAAGAAGAAAUCUUCAGCAAUUGUGUUCUUCGUGGACGUCUCUUUCUUCGAAUGGGUUCUUCUCUGCUUGGACCAAUGUUUAUCAUAUCGUGCGUGUACUAUCUCUGGAGAACAAGAAUUUUGAGAAGCUUUUAUGAAUUUUGAUCAAGGGGAAAGAUUUAGUGCAGCCCUUUUACGCUUCUUGCAAAGAAUAAAGACCAGCUCAUAAGUCUUCUUCUGUACAAGUGGUGGAGGUCAAUAAGCUUUUCGGAGUCCAAGCGGUGAUUGAAUCUUGACCAAGUUCUCCAUCACAAUUCAAUCGUGAUAUAAUCUUUAACCGAUUUCCGUGCACCAUCACGAUGGACCUCCCUGAAAUUUGACUAAAGAACACCUGCAAUAAGACAAAUUCAAGGGUGACAACGACAAAAGCUCUAUGAAGAAUGAUCUCGGAUGUGGGGGUUCAGCAGCCGCAGGAGCGUGAUGUUGGGAUUACAGGCAAGGCUCAUCCGCAAGGCUUGGACAGCAGAGCGGCGGGGCUCCAAUGUCAAGGUCUCGAACAGGGAGCAGCAUCAACCGUCGCGUUAGUUGGGCCCAAUUUUAUUCGUACGAAGACGUUGUAGCUGUGCAGGGCUUCUCGUGGCGGGGAAGCAGUGUGGUCACCGAACAGGGAGGUCAGAACGGCAGCGAUGUAGGGCUUUCUUGGUGCAAGCAGUGUUGUCUCCGUUGGUCAACGUGAGUGCCUCAGUGAAUCUUGGAGGUGCUCUUUGCCUCUCACGAUUUUCAACGAGCCAACCCCGCACCUCACAAAUUUUUCUCCUCCAUUCUCUCUCUAUUCACGUAUGUUCAUGCUUUUCUCAGGUUUGUGGCCGUGUCUUAAUUUUUUGGUGGCCCUCUGAAUCCUAUGGCUGCGUUUGGUCAUCCAGAUUUCUAAACGGGAUAGGACUGGAUAUGAUAGGAUAAGAUAUCCACAGAUUUCUUCAUAUCCCAUGUUGACACCUAUUUUAAGCAAAUCUAGGAAAAUAAGGAAAAUAAAAAUUGCAUUCGAACAAAUAAAAGGAAAAAAUGAAAAAAAUGGAAGAAAUUUAUUUGAUUGAUUAUGCAUGUAAAUUUGAAAUUUUAAUGAGCAUUUAGAUUUCGUUAAAUGCAGAAGCAAUUUAAAAAUCAAGUUAAUAAGAGGCAAGAAUCUUGCAAAAUGGAAGAAAUAUGAGCAGGAUUGAGCUGAUUGCGAAAUCAUGCUCUGAUUUGCAACUUUGAUUUAAUGCGACAGAAGAUGGAAGUUUAAAAUUUGUCAUAGAAAGCGGCUGAUCGGAACCACUAUAAAAAGGAGUUGACCUACACAGGGUGGAGGAGGGAGAAUCCGCUAAAAAAAUUUCGUGAAAAGAGCUAAGAGGAUUCGUGAAAGUAAAAGAAAAAAAGAGAGGAAAUCCCAUUUUCUCGUCCAAGGGUCAUUUUCUUUUUUUUUUCCCUUCUGACAACCUGCAGAAGAAAAGAAAGGGAAAAGUCAGCAAAAGAAAGAGAAAAAGUGCAGAGAAGUGACGUGUGGCCGGAAAGAAAAAAAAAAGAAGAAAAAAGAAAAAAGCAGCAGGAGCUACUGUUCGUCUUCUUCGCGUGGAAGCCCCUGCCCACGCUCGCGUUGCACCUCCUCCGUCCGUGAGCAUUGCACCAGUACCACCCACGAUGCCACCGAAGCCUGCUUGCCGCCGCGCCACCGCAAGUACCGUCGUCGCGCCUUGCCGCCGACGCAGCAACCUCUCGCCGCUCCCUCCGAGCACCACCGCACCUCCGCCACCGUCGCCUCGUCGGAUUCGCCCCUGACGUGCAGUAGCACAGCCACUCCAUUCGCCACUCCUCGUCGCUCCGCACCAGCAGCACCGAACACCAGUCGCCCCGACGACCACGCUCCCGCCCUCGCCGACGCCGCGCCACUGCAACACCCCUGCUCCGCCCGCGACGCUGCCUGUCAAUCUCCGAGCUCCGCUGCGCCUCCGCACCGCCACCGACGCCUGCAGCAUGUCCCUCCGCUUCGCCUGCAACCCGCCGGUUCGCAAUUUAGCCGGUCAUCACCGCGCCUCCGCGCACUAGCACCCGUAAGCCUCGCCGCGCAGCAACCUGCAACUCGCAGCAACUCGCGUACACCACCCGAUGACCCCGCGACGCUGCAGCAGCCCGAGAACCCGCGCCGGCCAUCGCGACCCGCUCCUGCCCAGGCGACGCCGGAGCUCCGAAGCCUGCCGCUCUCGACCUCGCCGCGUGACCGCGCCGCUCGCCUCAGCCAAGCACCCGGUGCCUUCACCGCCCAUCUUUGCUCACCGGACGCCGCACCUCGAAGCCCGACGCCUGCUCCGCUCCAUUACUGUUCCACAGCAACCGAGCUCUCACUGUUCACCAUUGCUGCCGCGACCCAUGAGCCCGACGCCGCCGCACCUGCUGCUGAGUCCUCCGUCCGAGCGCCACACCACAACUGCCAAGCCCAAUUUUUGAAAAAAGAAAAAAAAAAGAAAACACAUUAGGUAGUUUUCUUUAGUUUAUUUUAUUUAUUUUAUUUUACUUUAUCUUGUUUUUUUAGUAUAAUUAGUCUUUAGUAUAUGAUUGGAAAUUCCAACAUAUCACCUGAUUCGCAACCGCACUAUGAUUUUUUUAUUUCAUCUAUAAGGUCUUAGAUGAAAUAAUUAAUUAAGCGAGAAUAAAAUUGAUAUUUUGAUCUUUAAGGCUUAAGAUCAAUUUAUCAAUUUUAUCAGCGAAAUAUUAUUCCUUGAUCUGAAUGAUGUGUGAUAUCCUUGGUUUAGCUUGUCAUGAUCGCUUUGUUUAUCUUGAAAUGUGUUUGCGUUAUAAUAUUGCAUGUUUUAGGGUUUACAUAUUUAGAAUAUGAAUCUUAUUUCAAAUUUAAAAAAAAAAAUCAAAUCAAUCAAUUUAGGUUGCUAGAUUUUUAAUUUGGAUUGCAUGUUUAAUUAUUUGGCAAUUAUUAAUUUCGAAAUUAAACAAAAACAAAAAAUCAUCAUAUACAUGUCAUGUAGUGUUAAAGCAUAUUUUUCACGUCAUUGCAUAUUAGGACUAAAUUGCACUUAGUUUAAUUCUAGAUAAUAUUUUUUCUUAAUUUGUUAUAAGUUUAGGUAUUUUUUAGAUAUAUUGCAUUUUAGGAUUAUUUAGGUUAAAAUAAUUUUUUAUUUUAAAUUAGGAUUUGGCUCAACCUAAUUCCUAAUAUAAAUUAAAUAGGAUCUUAAUCUAAUUAGGUAAUUUUCACACUUCACCUGAAAAAUACAAAAAAAAAUGUCAUAGGUUAAAUUAGUUUUAUUAUUUAUGAUAAAAUGCAUUCUUUUAGGAAAAAGAAAAAAUGUCAUAUGCACGUCAUUAGGGCUAGAUUCACUGGGAUGCAUGUCAUUUAGUAUUUUUGCUAGGCCUAUUUAAUUAGAAAUUGCAUGUCAUUAGAAUUAGGUCAUUUAGUUAAUAUUGCAUUGCAUAUUGCAUGAUUUUCUUUAAUUAAGUGAAAACAAAAAAAAAUUGCGUGGUAAUUAGAAAUCAUAUCUAGGGUUGUUGAUGCGGUUUUUAACUUAACAUUACAUAUACUUUCAUUGCUUUGAGGUAAGUUUUUGCAAUUUAUUUAUUGUUUAUCUGGGUGUUAAAUUGAUGGAUUGCGCACCCACAUGAUCACUUCACAUGUUAGGAAAAUAGAUUUAAAAUCAAUUUAAUCUGCCUGCAAAAAACAUUUUUUGAAAAUAAAAGAAUGGUAUCGAAAGGGCAUUAGAGAAAUCUAGUGUAACCAAGUCCCCGUACCCAUAGUCUCUGGUUCGUAGGAGUAAAGUGAAACUCCCGUUACUUUACUUGGGUUUCUAAUCGACCCACCAAAAAAUAGAUUAGUGGCGACUCCUGAUUAAAAAAUUAAUUGCAUGUUAAGAACUUGAACUUAAGUCGCGAAUUGGUAUGGGAUUGGGAGAGCCUGAAUUAAGUCUAGGCUUAAUAAUCUAUUAGCCAAACCCUAGGUGGUUCACACCCGAAAAAUUUGGUCGCGACAUCCCAUCAACUGUUUGGUGAACUACGGAUUUAAAGUCGGAUAUUCUCAUAUCCUAUCCAAUCUACUGUUUGGUGAACUAUGGAUUUAAAGUCGGAUAUCCUCAUAUCUUAUCAAAUUUAUCAUUUGGUGAACUACGGAUUUAAAUUCGGAUAUUUUAAAAACAAUAACAUUAGGAAAGUACAAAUUUGCAGUUUUAAUAUUCACAAAAUCAUCUAAAACAAUCUAUCCUUUUCAAAUUAACAGAUUCUUAUUGAAUUUCAUGAUAAUGCAUUGUAAUAAUAUUUUCUGUUCCUUUGAAAUAAUUUUUUGGAUACCCCUUCAGCAUCAAAUGUUUUUUGAAUAACCUCAAUUUCAAUAUAUUCACUUUGAAACAUGAAUUCUUUUUCUCUCAAGUUUUUCAUUUGUUUCAAUUUGUUUCAUUCAACAUCAAACGUUUUUAGAAUAACCUCAAUUUCAAUAUAUCUUCCCUAGUUUUCUGUUUGUAUCCAAGUUCAUGGAACUGCUUUGCCACAAGAAACGAUCUUUGUAGCUAAACCAAAAUUAAAAUGAAUUUGUAGAUGUCUCUCGUGUCAUCAUCUCAAACGAUAACCCAACCGAAAUAAUAUACAUGAACCAAAAUAAGCUUUCAAUCUGUGUUAUCACAAGAAGAGUAAAAUGUACACUUGUUUUCAGUGACUUCUCAACAGAUUGCAAUAGUUAAAUAUGGACAAGAAAAAAUGGCAAAUUUAUGUUUGUAGCUGCCCUAAAAGAAAGGCAAGAAUUCUUUGCUUGCUGCUUCUUAUUAUCCUCUUAUCAUGGACAAACAAAAAGCCACUCAUGAUGAUGGAAGCGGAGUAGCUCGGGCACCAAAUUCAAGUGCGUCUUUGUAUCUCCUUAUAAGGAAAAAUAAAGCAGCUGCAUCGUGUGCUGCAACUUUUGAAGAGAUCAACUUGAAUCUCAAGUCCAUGAACACAUUAUGUGGGACAUGUUCAGAUGAUGAUAGUUUAUCAUUGUUGGCAAUCAACUAGACACUUCACCGGAGUUCCUCCUGCUCGGGCCUUCUAAAUCAUCACAGUUAGGCUGCUCACAAAGGCACAUUAGAGGAUUUGCAUGAAAGUAAUCCUCUUCCUUGGGCUUAUGACAAUAACUCUACGAUGACUUGGCUUUGCCAUGUUCUUCUCAUGUGCCAAAUGUACAUCAACUUCAAAAUUAUUCUGUGAAAGUGUCCCAUUCUGAUGCAAAUCCAGUAAAACCACAAGCCUUUGAUGAUCUAAGAGAACGAUUCUCUUAAAUCCAAGAUACCUGCAGAAAAAUGUCACGGGUUUUUUUUUUUUUUUUUUGGUAAAAAAAAAUGUCACAGUUUGUACACAACUUUUUGAAGGAAAAAUGGAUAGGCUUAAUUAAAUCGACUUGUUCUUCCAAGGGAAAUAAUGGAAGAAUGUCAAUCAAGUUAACACACAAACAAGCAAUCUCGAAGGUCCUAAGGCAAUCAACAAAUAACCAAUCAGUUAACUCCCCCUUCUCACAUUCAAUUGGGACAAAUCUGCCGCAAUCGACAAUGACCAUUUGUGAUAUCUCAUAGUGUCCACUCAAAACAGGACAAACAAAAAUCAAUUCUUUGUCGCAACCCACAAAAAGACGUACAUGAAUCAUGUUGGUGACACGAACUAAAAUCAUCAUUAGCAGUGUGCUUGGCCAUUGCACCGUCAGCUUGAAGUAAUCGAAUUCUCUCUAGUGGCCUCCAUCAUCAGUCUCUUAAGCAAUAAUCACCCCCAAUCCCCAUGACGAGAAGCACCAGGCAAAGGGGAGAUGAAGAAGAAGCCAUCGAUGGAGAGAGAGACCGAGAUAGAGAAUCGAGCGGAGGUAGAUUUAGGGCGAAGGAAGUGUAGGGUUGAGUGGGAGAUGAAGAAGAAGCCAUGCUUGUAAAUAAUGACAUGCUCAACAUGAUUGGCAGACCAAAUGAGGCUCGUAUAAUGUACGAGAAGCUUCAAUCUCAUCCAAAUGCUAAAGUCGGCAAGAGAGCUAUGCAAUUCAUGUUUAGCUUCCAGGUAAUUGUUAAUGUGAUGUCAAAGAAGGUGUAAAAGUACAUCAUUGUGAAUUUGUAGGCUAUUUCUAGUUUUUUUUUAAGCAAGCAUAAUUGCAUUACUAGAAAACGUUUGUAGCAAAUACAACGCUAACAUCCACACACAAUAGAUCUAAAAGAGCUGACGGGGGGUUAUUAACCCAAUUCCUAUUAAGACAUCACAUUCGAUGGGCUUUAGCUAACCAGUCAGCCACUUUCUUUGUGGUUUGACUACAAUGGGCUAAAGUGGUACCUGACAUGUGUUCCAGAUUUCGCUUAGCCCGAUCCACUAGUGGUUGUAUCUCCCAGCUACACGUCUCUGAAGAGAGGACCCCAUUCGCCAUCGUACUAUAGUCAUAAUGUAUGAGAAUUUCUUUUUCAGUUUUAUUUGGGACCAACUUCAAUGAAAUAAAAUCUAGGGUUUCCACCAAGGCCAUUACCUCCGCUUGCUCCGCUGAUCUCACUUCCACAGAUUUCGUAAAGCCAUCAAUAAUUCUGCCCAUCUCGUCCCUGCAGAUACAAGCUACAACACCUUUGAAGGGAGGGUGUCGCUGUUGAGAUCCAGAGGAGAAUUCGAGCUCUUGUCCAUGUUGUUCUAAGGUCGAGCUUUUUUCCUGGUCGUCUGCAAAUUUUCCUUUUAGCUGAUCUGUCCUCCCCUUAUUGCCAUCAUCCGGCGAGCAAGUCAGUUGAGGUUGCUGUACAGACUCUGAGAUGAAUUCGAUUUGUACACAAUCAGCGGCAUCCAUUCCAUUUUCAAAAAAGUUGAACAGAUCCAGCAAAUGUGUGUCUUUUCCUUUGUAUUUGGAGCAACCAAUUGUCCUAGCUCCCCUGUUGAGGUGUGGCGCAGUGCCGUUUGGAAAGGAUUGUCGUAUCAAAGUGCGUGAGAUCCUGCCUUCUUCUUGUCUUUUCAGAUUUGGGCUUAUUUGCUGUUUGCUAGCACCUUCACCUUCUUUAAAAUGCAAAGAUGACCUCUCCCUUUGCUCUUCGUUGCUACUACUUUGUGUACUUGAGUUAGUAUGUAAGAGGAUAUUGUUUGGGUUUUGUUUGCUCUGUCUUGUAUAAACAGCUCGCCUGGGCAACCUGUGGAAUAGAUUUAAGGUUGAUUUAUUGAAGUCUUUGCCUUUUUUCUUCUUUGUGAGAUCUAGUCUCGUAGGAAUUGUUGUUGGCGGUAAAGCUGAGCCUUGUGGAUUGUGGGUGGAACUCGCUGUUUGAUUGUUGUCAUGUAGGUGUAUCUGGUCCAAACUUCCUUCAUUUGCUUCUGGUGGUGUUAUUACACAUAUUUCAUGGUCUUCUUCAACCUCACUCCAUGAAUUGUCAAAAUUUGGGAGGAUGGAGGUAAAGGAGUCGAUGUUUGAGUCUUAAAUCUCUUUGCUUGCUGGUUGUAGCUCCGGGGUUGAUUAUGAAAAACCCUCAAUUCUGUGCAAUGAAAGCUCUUGGUUUGAAUGUAACUGUGAUCUAUCUAUGCAGGAAGGCUCAAAAGAUGCAUCGAUGUUGAUUUUGAGAGCAUCGGGUUUCGAGGGUUGCCAUUUGUUGUGUAAGUUGGUUUCUUUCUUCUGAUUCUUAGGUUUGGGAUUCCAUGUGAUGAAACUGUCUUGCGAAUUGAUGGCUCUAAAAAGGGUAUGAUGUGAGUUGAGGGGACUCUUUCUGAAUAUAUGGUGAUUUCAAUCCUUCCAUAUGCACCAUAAUACAUUCGCAAGCAGUUCAAAGUUAUGUGAUAGUCUUGAGCUUAUGUGCACCUGACAUAACCAAUCAUCAAAACGUGUUAAGCCUACUCGAUUUGCUUGAACUUGUAGGGGUGGCUCAGUCCAUAUUUGCGUAAUCCAUGGGCAGAGGAUAAAUAUAUGUUCUAUUGUCUCCGGUUUCAAUCCACAUAUUGAACAUGUAGGUGCAGGUACUAUUUUCCUUCUAUACAAGUUCUCCAUUGUAGGCAAAGCAUUCUAACAAGCACUCCAUAGGAAAUUUUUUAUAUCUUAGGUUGUAUAUUUGCGUUCCAUAUUCGUUUCCACAAGUCGGGGCUAACCUGGUAGGAUGUUGUUAGCUGUUGAUGUCGAUGAGUCAUUGUGUUUUUUCUAUGCCGCAAAUAUCCACUCUUCACCGUAUAUCUUCCUGAUUUAUUAUCCAUCCAAACUAGUUUAUCUUCCAUAGAUGGUAGGCCGAAAGGGGUGGCUAGAAUUUCCGUCACUAUGUUAUGAUCAAACAUAUCUCGCAAUAGGUCUUCUUUCCAUUCGGCAUUUUCAAAGUCUAUCAAAUCUACAACUGUGGAAGGUUCAUUCCUUAACGUGGGUCCUCCUAAUACACCUAUUUCCAACCACUUAUCUGUUCUGAUUGAGAUUUUUUGCCCAUUUCCCACAGCCCGCAUUACUUGAGGUGCUAUCGCUUCUCUCCUAGCUAAUAUACUUUGCCAUCCCCAGGAUGGGCGCGAUCCUUUUCCUGCUUGCUAGAAGUCACGGUUAGGAAAAUAUAGACCUUUCAUAAGUUGGCUCCAUAAAUUGUCUGGGUGUUGAGAAAGGCGCCAGGCUUGUUUUCCUAACACUGCAACAUUGAAAGUGAGAAGGUCUUUGAAUCCAAGUCCCCCUUCCUUUUUUGUGAGCUUAAGGAGUUCCCAUUUUCUCCAAUGAAGACCCUUCGUCUUGUUGUUGUUUCUCCACCAGAAGUUAGCAAUCUUCCUUUCUAUAUCUCUUAUAAUAGAUGCUGGAAUUUUAAAAAUAGACAUAGCAUACUGGGGUAUGGCUUGUACAACUGAUUUGAGAAGUGUCUCCUUUCCCGCUUUUGAUAGCAAGUUUUCCUUCCAACUUUCUAACUUUAUAUUUAUUUUAGCUAGAAUCCAUGCGAAGACUUCUUUUUUAGAGGCACCCCAGUUCGAAGGGAAUCCUAGGUAUUUCCCUGUUUUCUUAAUAACUGAAACUCUCAGCUCAGACGCCAUAUUUUCCUGCAGUUGUUCUAGACAACCUUUACUAAAGAAUAUCCUUGAUUUGUUAAGGUUGAUAGCUUGGUUUGAUGCAUAACAAUACUGAUGAAGGAUAGACGUCAAGUUUUGACAUUCCAAGAUUGUACCAUUUAGAAAAAAGAUUGAGUCAUCUACAAAUAAUAAGUGUGAGAGUGCGGCAGUUUCUGUUCAACUUGGUUCCCUGAAGAGUGCUUGCUUGUGUGGCUUGCUUUAACAAAAGGGAUAGAACAUUAGCCACAAUAAUGAAAAUAAGGGGAUAAUGGAUCACCUUGUCGAAUACCCCGAGUUGGUUGGAAAUAUGGUAAGGAUAUACCAUUAAGCCUGAUGCUAUAAGAGACAGUGGUAACACACUGCAUGGUCCAUUUAAUCCAUUCUUCACAAAACCCCAUCUUCCGCAAGCAUGCUUGAAGGAAAUCCCACUCUAGCGAUCAUACGCUUUUUGCAUAUCAAGUUUAAGGACCACUUGGAAAUGUCUGUCGAUCACGAGUUCUUACUCUAUGAAGGACCUCCUGAACAAUUAGGAUGUUAUCUUGUAUUUGCUGACCUCCCACAAAGGCGCUCUGUUCUGGUUCGAUUAGGGUUGGUAAUAGAGGUUUUAGUCUGUUCGUGAGGAUUUUGGAAAUGAUUUUGUAGGCAAAGUUGCACAAACUGAUAGGUCUGAAUUGUUCUAUGUUUUCUGGGUUUUGGAUUUUGGGGAUGAGAGUGAUUUGUGUUUGGUUAAGGGCUGGAUUUAGGGAUCCGAUCUCAAAGAAUUGUUGAACCUCCCGACAGAUAUCUUCUCCAAUGUCUCGCCAAUGGUGCUGGAAAAAUAUGCCAUUUAACUCGUCCGGCCCAGGAGCUUUAUUAGGUCCCAACUGAUAGGUAGCAUUUUUAAUUUCUUCCACUGUGACAGGAGCAAUAAGAUAUUGAUUCAUAGGUUCAUCCACCAAGUUUGGAAUAUAAUCCAGGAUGGGCUGAAAGUUUUGCUGUCCACAUGACAUAUAUAGGUUUUUGAAGAAAUUAACUGUCAUGGCCUGAAGUGCCUCCUGAUUACGAACCCAUUCCCCUUGCUCGUUCAAUAGCAUGGAUAUUCAGUUCCGGUUUCUACGUUGAAUAGUUGUAGCGUGGAAGAAUUUUGUAUUUCUAUCUCCCCAUUGUAGCCACUUUAUUUGUAAUCUCAUGCUCCAGAACAUCUCCUCUUGUCGCCAAAGGGAGUUGAUUUCUUGAUUAAUUUGUUGAAUUCUUUGUUGGUCAUAGUCACUAUCUUGACUAUUCAUCAAGGUCUGAAGUUCCUUUUUCAACCCUUCUAUCCAUUUAUAUGCAUUGGGAUAUCUUCUUUUACCCCAUUCAGCAAUUUUUGCAGCUACUAACUUUAGUUUCUCAACCAUAUUUUUGCCUUAGGAAUCAUCCCAAGUUCGUUUCACAAGCUUCCUACAAUCUUCAUCCUCGGCCCAAUAUGCUUCAUACUCGAACUCUCGUCUUCUGUGAUCUGUUUUAGGAUUCAGGGACAGCAGGAGAGGAUUGUGAUCAGAGCCUAUUGCUGGUAGGACUAUGACCUCCGCUGCAGGGUAAGCUAUUCUCCACUCCAGGGUACAUAAUGCUCUAUCCAACCUUUUCUUGACAUUUUCCUGACCACUCCUUCGAUUUGUCCAUGUAAAAGCGCAUCCUUUACUUUCUAAAUCCAUCAAAGAACAUGCAUGUAGGAAGUCUCUGAAGGCUGUAAGACGAAAGUUUUCUGCUAAUCUCUUUCCCAUCUUUUCCUAAUGAUACAGGAUACCAUUGAAGUGCCCGAUACAUAGCCAAGGUAGGUGAUUGAAUGUGCUUUCUCGUUGUAAUUCUUCCCAUAAGAGUAUUCUAGCAUUAAAACUGGUUGGAGCGUGUAUAAAGGUGAUUCUCAUGAGCUGCCUAUUUUCGUGAAGCCAACAUUGCACAUUGAUAAAAUUUUCAGAAGACGAAUCCACAACUAUAGUAACCAUUUCAUCCCAAAAGAUUGCCAAACCACCUGAAAAACCAUAUGGAUUCACCAAAAAGCUAUUUUGGAACUUCAGUCUAUGUUGCCAAUUUUGCACCAGCUGCUCUUUAUUUUUGGUCUCCAUUAAAAAUAGAAUAUUUGGCCAUUCUUGAGACACUAGGGCUCGUAAAGCUUGAAUUGUCAGGGGUGAGCCCAACCCUUGACAAUUCCAACUGAUAAGUUUCAUGGCUGACCUGGUGGCUUGUUAGGGCUGUAGGUUAUUUCUAGUUGAAGAGCAUCUAAAAUGAUGGUUAUGGUGCAAAUACUCUACAGGCCAUGGAGAUGAUGAAGGUAAGAAACUCAAAGCUCUUAGCAAAGAGCACAGGCUACCAAAACUACUUCGAGGCCUUCAUUGACAAUAAAAUCAACUAUUCUCUCGACAAGGAUGAAGAGCUCCAAGAAGGUGCACUCUCUCAAGCCUUUCCGGACAUAGUCUUUCUUCUUUCACCCAUAUUUGUUGUGCUAUUUAUUGUUGUCCAAAGAGGAAUAUAGUCCAUGAAGAUUAUAGGAUUGUCUUUUCCCCUUUUCUUGUUUUGGAGUUCCAAUGUAGAUUAGUUAUCCAAGUUGUUACUUCUAGCUGGGUUAUUGUUCUGCCCAACCUCUUUGGAGUUCUAUAUAGAGAAUCGGCAAGCACUUUUUGCUGAGAUUUUCGUUUUUUGUCAAAGUAGAAUUUAAGAUGAUAGACAGUGGUACUGUUUCCAUGGAUUGCUUAAAGCUAUAUGAAGAUUCUGAGCCAGUGCAAACCCGUGAUGAGUACUCUGAAAGUUGUGGCUGAUAUCUCAAGUUAUAUACCGAGGAUAAUGUUCCCAGGAGGCACAUUUAUUGCAGUCAUAAGGACGAGAAGAGAAAGAAGCAUACCGAUAAACUAAUGGUCCAUCCCUUCAAGGCUUACGCUUGUUUACAAGAAAAAGGCCGACAAUCAAUAAUUUACUAAUUUCAGGCUGUUGGUAAUGAAGAAUAUAUUAGAAGACCUCUUACUAAGAACAAAAUUGCUUGGUUUUUUUAAUCUGAUCAAAAUUGAUUAGAAGCUCAACCUACGCGCACUUCUGCUCAUUCCCAAUAUUUUCAGGCACGGACGUGCAUCCCCCUCCCAUGUUAGGAAGCCGAUUUCUUAAAGUGCCGUGACAAAAUGAUCAAUUCUAUAGAAAAGUACUUAUGCUUUUAACGUAGCGUUCUGCAAGUAUCCAUAGGGAGAAGCAAAUAAAAGCUGAGACAAUGACAAAAAAUGUAAGUUUUGCUAAUCAAGAAAUUAUUAUAAUUUCAUCCCAAUUCGACUCUUGAAUCUUGCUAAAUAAAAUCAGUGGCAGAUUGAAAUGUCGCAAGCAGAAAUUUACCCAUAAUUAAAAGUAGCAUGUCACAAAAUAGUCUAUUAGAGCAAGCCCCACGGUGAUGAGGACCUAUCGGUGAUGGGGAAUGUGAAAGCAGGCCCGCGAGAAUCGGCAGUAUUAGCGACAGCUGAAGUCGCCUGGUCGAACACGUAAUAAAUUGAUGGUACGCUUUGACGAGCAAAUAAUAAAAUGGACAUGAAGCUUUCAAGAGAAUAUCCUCUUUCCAUCAUUCCAUUAUUCCGGAAUCAGCGUCAUCAGCACCUAUAUUUCCAAGAGCAUCUAAAGGGAGACAUUCGUUUCUUAUAAGGUAGCCAGCUGCAUUUAUUGCACUCUGCUCGUGCAUUCAUAUUAACCCAAUCCCAUCAUUUGACUUUGACACCACGCUAGGGUGCAAAACAGCCAGGUGGAGGAAGCUCGACGACCUCGUCCAUUCAAAGUAACAUCAACCAGAAACUCAAACUUGUCAUCUCUAUAGGUUGCUGCUGGAAGCAUAUCAAGUUCCCAUUGGGCAAAGCUAACAAAAUCCGACCUCUGAACUGAGCUUUUCGAAGCAACUAAACUCGCUCUUAGUUGAUAACAAUCUCGAACAAGUGAUGAGCAUUUUGCAAAGCCCGUCAGGCGUUAUCUGUUUUUGCGUAGAUGUUUAUUCUAUACAUAUUAAAAUGUGCAACACAAGAAGGACGAGAAACAAGAAAAGGGUAAGCGACAGCUGGCGGCAUCUGGAGCAUCAGCAACUUUGCGUAUGUGAACGUCAAGAAACUUAGUACCCUCUUCAUGUUUUUUUAUUUAUUCUUUAAGGUAAAUAACACCCUCCUCCCCUAUAAAAACCACACAUAUUUAAUGGCUAUCCAUAGGUAUUAGAUCCCACACAUCCUUCUCACACCUCGAUGCUUCAAACAAUCCCCCUCUCUCCCCCCUCUCUCUAUACUAAAUCCCGCCUCUCUUUGUUGUAAGUAUAGAAAGAAAGCCUUCCUUUUCAUCCACCGAAAGCAUUUUGCUUCUCCAAUAUGGAGCUCCACAUUCCAAUACCACUCGCAAUCUUUUCCAUUUCCAUCAUACUUUUGACUCGCUUUUCUUCUUCUUCUUCUUCUUUGUCGUGGUCGUCACCGUCGAAUUUGCACCCGCUGGUGGUUGACUCCGCGCUUGAGCAUCUCAACUAUACCACCGUAUCUGAGUUCCGGUUACUAAACAGAAGGCAAAUUCUCCAGUGCCGCGACCCGAACCCAUAUCUCCAAAUCAAUGUCAGCGGCAACACCGCCCUUGGGGAUGAAGAGUAUCUCACGGUUAACGUGACCGGGGUCUUGGUUCCAGCGGACUCCGACUGGGUUGCCAUGAUUUCUCCAUCGAACGCCGAGUAUGAAUCAUCCUAAUAUCUAGUUUUGAACUAUAUUCGUACAUGUUAGCGGUUACUCAUUCACGUUCCUUCUUUUUCUUUUGUUUUGUUCUUGUGGGGUGCAGCGUCUCAGAUUGUCCAUUGAAUAAGGCUCUAUAUGCAGAGACUGGUGAUCUUAGUGAUCUUCCUCUUCUAUGCCAUUAUCCUGUCAAGGUAACCUUAUCUAACCUUGAGUCAUGCCUUGUUGAUGACUGAUCUUCCUUCUUGAUUAGUAAUGGAAACAUAAAGUAGUGAGGGGCUAAAGAAAAAAUACUGGAAUUUACAAGGGCCGAAGAGAAACGCAACUGAAAAAGAACUCACGCGGCACAUGCCUUGCUCCUUUUGCCAAGAGUUUGGUUUGGUCCUCACAAGUGACCCCCAACGUCAUGUCAUGGAGUUCAUAGCGUUCACGACACAAUAUCAUAUUUCAUUUGGUUAGGGACAUGUUGAGUUGCAACAUAACCAAAAAAUUAAUAUAUUUGAUACAACUCUUCCAUGAUUGUGUUAUGGUGGUAGAUAAAAUCAGAUUAAAAUGCGAAAAAAUAUGUGAAAUUCAUUUUACUUUUCGAAAUAUUCUAUUGAUGUUGCAUUUUCUCUAAGUACCAUUAACCUAAUUUAAUAAAUUCAACUAUAUAUAUUAAUACCAAUCCAACCUCAAGCUUUAAUGGUCGUAGCUGCUUUUAAGGUUUAAAGAAUUCCUCGUCAAGUCUUCAUCUACUAAAAGAAGCGGAGAAAAUAGGAGUCCUUUUUAUUUUAUUUUUGUCAAAGUCUCUUUUUGGGUUCAAAAGAGAAUCAAAAGAGUCUUUUGUUCAAUAAUCUGCUAAAGUUUCUAUCAAUAAAGUCAGAUUUUGUUCUGGUUGAAAUAUUUUGCGACGUCCUUUAUCGAAUUGUUUUAUCAUUGUUAUUUUCAUUUAAUAAAUAAGUAAUUGACUAUAGAACCAUCCUUCAAUAAUUUACAUAACUUUUUUUAAAAAAUUUAUGUAUUUUUUCCAUUGACCAUGAAAACACCAAACUUUGUUGAAUAUAAAAAAUAAUGAAAAUACUUAUCAGAGUUGGUUUUUUAUUAGUCAAAUGAAGACAUUCCAUAUGUAACUUAAAUUUGAGUAAUGCCAGGUAUUAAUGAAGGUUUACAAUUUAUUUAUUUUUUUUGUAUUUUUUGGUACAUAUAAGAUGCUGCAUGUACUCCAGUUACAUCGAAUAUUUAAGUAGGCCAUUUUUAUCAAAAUGCUUUAAAAUUUCAUUUAUUGCAACCACUAGUAUUAUACCUACAUCUUUUCUUUUCUUUUUUUGCAACGUCCCAAAUUCCCUAAAUUUUCUAGUAUACCUACCAUCACUUGUCUAUUUAGUUUUAGACUAGGAGAAAUGUUUCCACUUCAACUUUUUGGUGCACGCUUAUUUGCAUAAUUUUCAGGCACAAUACUUGAGCAAGGAUCCGGACUAUCUGAGCUGCAAGAAGAAGGAGUGCAAGGAAUACAAGGACGGUCAAUGUGUGGUGACCACAUGCGGCGGCACCUUGACGUUUCACGUUGUAAACAUCAGAACCGACAUUGAGUUUGUGCUGUUCGCCGGGGGUUUUGCAACACCAUGUGUAUUGAAGAAAUCGAACUCUUUGACUUUUGCUAACCCGAACCAACCGCUCUACGGCCAUCUCUCCAGCAUUGACUCGACUGGGACUUCAGUAAGCACUGAAUUGGCUAACAAUUGUUGUGUUGAGCUUGCGGGGGUCGUGUCGCCAACAUUUGGCUCUAUGAAUGUCAUGACAAAUGUCAAUUAUAUCAUUAGCCCAUGAAGUCGCGGUAACAUGCCUGCAUGACACACUGCGCCUGAGCGUGGAAUAACACUACCUAAAACACUCGAAAGCGAUGCAGACUGCGACUGGUAAUCAUACAUGCUCUAAUCUGCAGAUGAGGAUUACAUGGGUUAGUGGAGACAAAGAGCCCCAAGAGGUGCAAUUCGGAGAUGGGAAAUCACAAACUUCCGAAGUUAGUACAUUCUCACAAGAUGAUAUGUGCAGUGAGUUAACCUCAAAUCCUUACUUGAAAACUCUGUAAAUGCACUGGGACUUCCUUGUCACAUGCAAAACAAUGAAAUGCCUUAUGAAGACUCAUUCUUCACUAAAUUUAAUUUUGUUGGUCUAAUUUUCGGCAGGUAAUGUGCUACCUAGUCCUGCCAAAGAUUUCGGUUGGCAUGACCCUGGUUACAUUCAUUCAACCGUGAUGACAGGACUGCAGCCUUCUACCUCUUAUCCUUACAAAUAUGGAAGGUAGAAUCUCCUGACUGAAGCUGUGUUGCUUAUGAGACUGAUCGGUUUCAGAGCAGCUUGAGGUAUUCUUGCUGAGCAUAUUGCAAUAUCUCUGGCAUGUCUAUUUGAUGCAGGGUCAUCGAAUCUGCAGUAUAUGUGAAUGAAUUGAUAUGCAACGGACUUGUUCCUUACAAUAAUUGUCUAUGAAUUCACGACAUUAGGUAGAUGACAGAGCACCGGCAAAUGCUUCUAUAUGCCUUAGUUCUUUUAGAUGAAUUGUAGCUGCAUGUCUGAUCGAGAGAGGAUCGGGUACACGGCUUUCAAUAAAAAGGAGCAUCUUGUUAUCAUGACAUUAGAGUAAUACAUCGCAUGACAAUGCAAAUGAGUUUCCGCAAGUGGAAGUAGAUGGAGUGAUUUAUUUUUCACUGGCUUGAAUUAGAUGGUUGGAAAUUGAAUUGAUGAGAAACUUCUAUAUCAUUUGUUGGCAUAUCCGAUUUAUUUUUGGUGUUGGUUUUAUGAUAUCUAGUGAUUCAGCUGGUUGGAGUCAACAAGUUCAGUUCAGGACACCGCCGGCAGGAGGAUCAAAUGAACUCAAGUUUCUUGCAUUUGGGGAUAUGGGAAAAGCCCCUCUGGAUGAUUCAGUUGAGCACUACAUUCAGGUAAACAUGCAUUCCAUAGAAUGAAAAAUCGCAUUUCUGAUUGCAACAUUGAAAAGAUGCUAUCCAUGCUGGACAUACACUAGGAGGAAUGUGUAUCCUUCAAAAUUUUAAGAAUGCUGAUGGAAGGGACAAAAUAUGCCACGAUUUAGUGGGAGUAGCACAUUGAAAACCGGCUCUCCAUGAAACAUUAUUAGCACGUCACAUUCAUCUGAAUUAACUGUAAAGGCACAGACUAAGCUGUUUGCAAGAAUUCAAACUCCUGAUUAUGAUGGUAUCCUAAUAUGCGACUUCAUAUAAUUCUACAGCCAGGAUCAAUCUCCGUGGCAAAGGCAGUGUUGGAUUAUGUAGACUCCGGUAAUGUGGACGCCAUCUUCCAUAUUGGAGACAUAAGCUACGCCACCGGCUUCUUAGUGGAGUGGGAUUUCUUCCUCAACCUCAUCAGCCCUUUUGCUUCCCGAGUUUCAUACAUGACUGCAAUUGGGAACCAUGAAAGGUAACUAACUACCUCUAGUCGAUAUGCGUCUCUUCCUGCAAAUUAUGGAAGACUCAGUACACAGCUGAACCAACAUACUUAGCAGCAUGAAUCGAAGAUGAUUUCUAAGUUUCUUUACAUGAAGAGAUUAUGGGGGCUCUGGAUCCGUGUACUCAACUCCGGACUCUGGUGGGGAAUGUGGCGUUGCUUAUGAGACAUACUUCCCAAUGCCAACCCCAGCGAAGGACAAACCCUGGUAUUCCGUAGAACAAGCCAGUGUUCAUUUUACCGUGAUUUCAACCGAACAUGACUGGUCUGAGAAUUCAGAGCAGGUAAGGGUGAUCGAGCUGAACCCUUUUGUUCUCACAUUUGCAUGUCGAUGAGCUGUCAUUUUAUGUCAAGGGAAUGUCAUGUUGUCAGUAUCAAUGGAUGAAAGGGGACAUGGCUUCAGUCGACCGAUCUAAAACUCCUUGGUUAGUUUUCACGGGGUAAGUGCAUUUGCUUCUGGGUAAUUGUGAGUUUCACCACUUGAUUUUGCGUACUCUCAAAAAAAAAAAAAAUUCUCAAGAAAACAGAGAUCAAGUGUAUCGGUUGCCUCUUGCAGGCACAGGCCCAUGUACACUUCUGGCUCUGGAGGAGGUGCUGACCAAGGGUUUCUUGAUGCUGUAGAGCCGCUGCUAUUGGACAACAAGGCAACAUUCUGUUUCUCACUCCGGUUCUCAUCUAGAAUAAUCCGUUUAUUUGUGAGAUUGUACUCAUCAAGCAUUUGAUAUCACAGGUUGAUCUAGUUCUCUUUGGCCACGUUCAUAACUAUGAAAGAACAUGCUCGGUUUACCAAAAUGAGUGUAAAGCCAUGCCAAAGAAAGAUCAAAGCGGGGUUGAUACUUAUGAUCACAGCAAUUAUAGUGCACCUGUGCAAGUGGUUAUUGGUAUGGCCGGGUUCAGUCUGGAUGACUUCCUAGAUGAGGUUAGAGUCUGUUCUCCCUCUCACCGUUGAAAAUAGUUAACCAAUAUAGCUUUUUGUCUAAACUUGCACAAUUCUUUGGCAAUUUCUGAAAAUCCAUCCUUGUAUUGGUCAGUGCUUAAUCCCAAUUCCAUUUCUUGCAUUUACAUUGGCUGAAUGUUGCUUAGUCAAACAAUGCCGUCUUAACAACACCUUUCCGAUUUAUGGGCCUUGACAUAUCUAGAUUCCAGAGAUUUUUAGCUCGCUGUUAAGAAAUUAAAUGCUGAUUCUGCUGCUCAUAUCAUUCAACUUGAUACGGUUACACGGGGAUUUUCAUUUAUGUUGCUCCCAUGAAUAAGAUCUGUAGAAGUGAAGGCCCGUUGAUUUUUUUGCAGCCAAGUGACUGGAGUUUGAUAAGGAUUUCCAAAUUCGGGUAUUUCAGAGGACAUGCAACUCCAGAAGAGUUACAACUAGAGGUCAGCACUCUCGAAUUUUCCGUCGCCCUUCCCACAAUCGUCAUUCGGUUUGGCUUUAUGAUUGCUUACUCGAUUACAUAUGACUUCAUUUAUUGAGAGAUUGGUCUAGUCUGUUGUGAUGGUUUGAAAUUAGAAACUAUGUACAGUUUCUGAUGUCCUGUUCUCUAAGUAGAGUUUGGAACAUUAAGCAGCUACAUGUUACUGCAAUCAUGACGACCAUGCUUACAAGCUUAUUUAACUUCAAUCUACAUCUUGCCUGCAGUAUGUGAAUGCCGGCACGAGGAAGGUGGAAGACAUCUUCCGCAUCACCCGAUAACCGAAUUUUCAAGUGAACAGGAAGGCACUGCGGGCAAUAACAAGCUGCCAUAGCUACAUAGUUAUACACUUCCACAUUUUGUACUUUACAGAUACAAAACAUACAGAUAACUUGUGCUGAUACACAAGCAAUAAAUCUUGAUUUUCCGUGCAACCUAAUUGAAUGCUCUUGAUUUGUCAACAAGGAAUACAAAUUCAUGAUUUAAGUACUCUUGUGAGCAAUCUAACAAGAUUUGUUCGAUGCAAGAGUGGUUUCUCCUUCCGAUUGAGUUUAGAACCACGAACUCUUGAUAGUUAUCAUAAUCUUUCAAAAAUUGUUAUAUAUUUAUGUAAAAACCAGUUAUUUCAACUCACGAACUUUCGGAAUUUUCAUCAUGAAUGUGAUGCAAUGUAAUCAAAUUCAGGAAUUUCUUAGUAAUCCUAAAAAGUUUUGAAUUAUUUAAGUCACUAUCAAUAAUGAGUAAUGACACUCAACCAACCAACCUUGGUCAUGAAUAUGAUCAGCAAAAGCAUAAUCUUCUAAAUUAAUGUUGCUGACCUAAUUGACAAAAUAUCUCCCCUCUCUCAUCCGAAAAAUAGCGGUCCGAUCCAUACAUAUCACGCUCAACCAUCAAUUUGAAAAUCAUCGAGUCGCAACAUAUCACUCCAUACCUCUACUUAAGGAUUUACUUCUCAUUUGACUUGUCUCACCAUUUCAUGUAGUUGCAGCUGCAGCGACAACUCAAUUACCUAGCUAGACAUUUUUCUUAUAGGUAAUUUUUGAAAUUCUUUCCAGAGGGAAUGAUUGAUCAUGAUUUCCUUUGUGAAGUCGUAUUGAUGAAGUUUAUUGCAACGCUAGCGGCAUAGUACCUUUGUUUGACAACUUCAAGCUCUCGUGUUCGAGCCCGAUCCACUUCAUCCAAGUCCUUCACUACGCUCUACGAUCUGUGAAGCACUUCGCGAAAUCCAUGGUUCGCAAGAUGGAGACGGCGAAUUGGAAACUCGACGAUCGAACAGAUCUGAAAAUACCGGCUUUGUCCAUGGCUGGUCGGUAACGCUGCAAUUCACGAGGCGUUGUCCAUGUCCUGUCCAGGGCCUCAAAAGUGAAAAAAGUAAAGGAAGAAAAUAGUGAGAGGAGAGAGUAACGAGAGAGAGGGGGUGACCGAGGACAGAGAAAAGAUCUGAAAAGUGGGCUCAGAUUCACCGUGUGUCAAUCUCUGGAUGGUUCAAUGCAAAUCCUACUGUGGUGUGUUUAAUGUACAUAACAUUUUCUCGCAUUGCAGGGGUCCAUCUGCCAGGAUUUCACUUUCCAGGUGAUUACUUGUUUUCAUAUGUGAAGGAACUCCUGGCAAUAUCAAGCUUAAAGAAGCUCGGGCAGGGUAAUUUUAGGAUAUCUGGGAAUGAAAGAUGCUUCCGUGACUCCCUUCUUGCGUCCCCCCUCUGCUGCCAGAGUAGGCCUAGAGGCUUUGCAUCCUUUUCCGUCCCAUGCAUGAAAAUAAUGAUGUGCUCGACAUGAUUGGCAGGCCAAAUGAGGCUCGUAUGAUGUGCGAGAAGCUUCAAGCUCAUCCAGAUACUAAAGUCAGCAAGAGAGCCAUGCAAUUCAUGUACAGCUUCUAGGUAAUUGUGAAUGGGAUGUCAAAGAAGGUGGAAGUACAUCAUAGUGAAUUUGUAGGCCAUUUCUGAUUGAAGAGCAUCGAAAUUGAUGGUUGUGACGCCACUACCCUAUAGGCCAUGGAGAUGAUGGAGGUAAGAAGCUCGAAGCUCUCUGCAAAGGGGACAGGGCAUUGAGGCCUUUUAUUGACGACAAAAGUAAUUAUCCUCUUGACAAGGAUGAAGAAUAUACAACAAGCAAUCAAUUGAAGUUGUGGUCUCGAGAGAAGAUAUCUUUUUCCAUCAUUCUCUUAUUCCUGUUGUCACUUUCCCGGAGUUAGAGCUAGGAAAGCUAAUGAACUACUAAAUAGAAACGAUGGGUGGUUUCACGAGACAAUCGCUCCUGUUUAGCACGGAUUGUUUCAAACUUUACUAGUCACUUGAACCCAAUUCAACAUGCAUUUAAAGUUAUCUCUGCUACUAAUCGGUUAUUAGUUGAUUGGACACCCAAGCAAAAUGUAGGAAUGCAUUUUAUUUUUACGAAUUAGAGAUUCAAUAGAUUUGUGGACUUGGUUUUGUUAGAUUAAUUUAACACUUCUUCAAUACAUUUUCUUUUUAUUUUGGAGAUGUUUCUGCAGACAAUCUUAAUUAAUUUUAUCUGAUGUCAUUAACAUAUGAAGGAUGAUCAUGUGGGUGCAUAAUCAAGAACGUAUAUACUCAAUAAUCAAAAUAGUAAAUAGAUUGCAAAAAAAAUUAAAAAAACUAGAUGCCCUAAGAAAGCGAAGCGUAUCCCUAUUCAUCACCAAAGAUUCCGCAAAUUAUUACUAUAAAAAAUAUGUAAAUAGAAUGGACGAAUGUUAUAAUAACGGCUUACUAAUAUGCAACCUACACUAAUUUUUUUGUAUAUUUUAUAACUUAAUUAACAUGUAGGACUUAGAGAACCCGCAACUGCAUCCUAAAAUUCUAUGCGACAGGAAUUGACUUACACGCACUAACUAGAUUACGAGUUUUUCAUGGGUGUUAUAUAUUACAUGGGUGUUAUUAUUGACACUUAAAUUUUGUCAUUUUAUUUAAGACUUAAUGUUACAGAAAAUUAGGGAUUAGUCUUUAACCCCUAAAUAAAAAUUAUUUUUCAUCAAAUUGCAUCACAUAGAGAUAUUAGGAGAAUUUACAUUACUAUCACUAAUUAUUAAAAUUUUUAAAAAAUAAAAAUAAAAAUAUCGAAAAAAAUCGGAAAUUUUUUUAUUUUUUAUUUUUAAAAAAAGGCAGACCGGGCUAGGCCCGGUCCUUUUCCGUUCUCCUCUCCUCUGAAUCUUUUUCCGCCUGGGCCCAAGCCCAGCCUCAUUUUCUUUUCCCCAAGCCCGGCCCCUUCUCUAUUUCCUCUCUCCUUCACGCCCUCACGCCGGUCUUGCUUUUGGCAGGAAAGAAACGUACAAACCAGAGGGGGCAGAUGGCGGCGUGAUCUACGGAUCGGCAUCAUUCCGACCGGCAAGUUGGCGGUGGCAGAAGCCAAGCACCCCGGCCGUGAGAGAGAGGGUUUUUUUUUUUGGGUUCUGGUUUUUUUCUGCAGAUUUUGGCUCCGAGAGAGCUCGAUUUAGAGAGGCAGACCGAGAGAGUGAGCAGGAAGAGAGAGCAAGCAGGCUGGUCCACUCGCACGAAGAAGGAAAAAGGGGGCGAGAUCUGAGUGUUCGAGAGAGUCGAGAGCGAGCUAGAGAGAGUGUGAGAUCGGGAAAGUCCCUGGCCGUUGCCAGAGGCCCGGCCGUCAGUCGCCGUCCGUCGCUACGUGUCUCAUCCGAACCAGGUUGGCCUUCCCGAGCUACAUCUGUUCAUUUUUUAGGCGUCGGGCCGGAGCUCGCGUCCAACCGGUUCGCGCGAGCUCCGGUUUCGUCGGUCCUCGGGUUGUGGCCGAAGCUGUUUGUCCUUCCUUCGUAUCUGUUCCAAAUGCGACCAACUAGCCUCUGAGUUGAUCUUGAACGUUGCUCGCGCAUGUCGUGUUCAUGUUUGCCUCGAAUGAGUCUGCGUUCUUCUUUUUGGCCGCUGCAUCCCAAAAGUUUGAUAAAAUGCUCGAAAGAGAACGGAAAGAAUAUUUCACGUUUUGACAUGGGAUCGGUUCGUUCUUGCUCCUAUAUCGGCAAAAUUAUAUAUUUUUUUGCUUGUUUCCAUUGAGUUUUUGUACAUUUAUCGUAAAAGAAUCAUGUAUCGUCGAGUGGUCGUGUUUCUUUGUUCCGGCAAAUGGGUUAAUGGUCGCCGGAGUUCGUGGCCGACGGUGGUCGGUGCCGGUUGGAAUGGACGACCGGUAGAUGGUGGUGGUUCGGCGGUGGAACGCCGGUUGCUCCGGUCGGUGUUGCCGUUUGGACGGGCUUCGGUGAGGAACAAGAUCUCGGUGAAAGAAGGGGCUUCGAGCGUGCAGAGAACCCACGAAGAAGGGGAAGGCCAGAAGAAGAAAAGAAAAGAUUAAAGGAAAAAGAAAAAUGAAAAGAAGAAUUAAAAAUUAAUAUUGAUAUAAAAACGAAAAAGAAAACAAAAAAAAAGGGUUUUAUGAAAUAGGUUUUGUCCGUCUUAGGUUAUGUUCAAGUUGUCGGACCGGGCUUGCGGGUCGGAUUGGGUUUAUCUAGUCCGAACCUGUUUUUCCGAACAUAAUAAUGUUAAAUAUUAAAAAUAUAUUAAAAAAUUUCAAAGAAAUAAAAAAAUUUCAAAAAAUUUUCCGAAAAUUCAAAAACUCUCUGAGAACAUUAAAAAAUAAAAAUAAAAAUUCAGAAAAUAUUUUAAAAAUUCGAUUUUUUAAAAAUAGAAAAUUAAAAAAACUGUUAGAAAAUUUCAUUAAAAAUUACAAAAUCCCAUUCCUUAAAAAAAAAAAAAGAUUUUAUGAGCUAUACUUUUUACAAAAAUAGAAGCUCCUUAAUUCUAAAGUUGUGCUAAAAAAUUAAGUAAACUCUUAAGGUUUUACUUUAGGGUUUUAAUUGUCCCCAAAGACAAUUACUCUUGUUUGCAUGCUUUUGCUAUUUGUGGCUCCCUUUAGUUACAAUCAACAUUUAUCUUUUCCUUAACAUUAAGUUCUUGUUAUCCCAUGAAAUGUAUUUAAUGCUUUCUUUGGUGACUGAUUAUUAUUUUGAUAAUUAUGCACUUGCAUGAUCACCUCACAUGUUACUGGAUAUGUAUAAAAUUAAUCUAGACUGAUUGAUAAUUUUUUUUAAACGAACAAGAUUAGGUACUGAAAUGACACUAAUUUGUUAAUUAGUGUAAUCAAGUUUUUGACCGUAGAUUCUUAGUUGUGUAAGAAGUGGGGUACAUUAUUAUGUCUCUUUUAAGUUGACCUUAAUAGGCUAGUGAUUGACUCUUUAUUAUAAAAUUCUUAUGAACAUCCUAAUGUUACGUGAGGUAUGAAUUUAGGAGAGCUCGUGCUUGAUUAUGGGUAGUAGGCUUGUCUUUAGACAAUAUCCCUAAACCUAUUCCCUUCUCGAGAGGUAGGUCAUGACAGAUAUGUGCACCCCUUGAACAGCGAGAAGACUUCAUUGAGUUACUAUGCGCUAGUUUUUCAAUCACUGUCAAUAUCGAGCUAGAUCGGACAAAGCCCUUGAUAGAGGACCUCUCUUUCCGUUUCUUUGCAAAUUAUGAGGUCAAUGAAAAAAAAUUUCUUUCUGUUGAAAUUGGCAUCCAAGGCAGGUUUAUUAGGUUUUUCUAUGUUCAUGUACAUGUUUCCCUUUGGUCUUUGUAUUUUGACUUCAUUCACCAAGAGAAUGAUCUUUGGCCGUGGCAACUUGUGGGCACGGCAUUAUGCAAAUUGGUUUUUUGGUACCAAUAGAUCUGCCUGCCAGUAAAGUUUAGCGAUAUGCUCAUGUGCCCUCGCAAUUCGACUUGAGCUGAAGGCACGCACUAUUCAAACGCGUGUCCUGACCGAUGCCAUCGCGACUCGACACGAUUGACCGUGUUUAUUUUGCUUGUUGAAUGGUCAUAAAAGAAAAUAAAUGAGAAGUUUUGCAUCUUAAGAAUUGUUAAAGUAGGUUUUCAGGCUUCCAAAGCCCACGAGAACCGCCCUGUUCGUAUCCCCAUAGACCUUAGCAGAGGAACUCGAAGUUUUCUAUUUCACCGAUGCCAGAAGUAGCAAGACCUUCAUUUAGACAGUGUCAGUUUUCAAUAGAAAAACUACAUAUGACAUGCAUGAUUCAAUGACUCUUCUUACAUAGUGCGGAGGAUUACAUGGCCCAAAUGUAUUUAGACAAACGAAUGGUUGUUGCUGAGUUUGUCACGCCCUGACUCUUGAGAACGUGCACAUCCCACUAUGGUCGAUACAAUUGCGACUUCCAAGACUAGCUACCGACCCUUUCAUUUUUAAUGCACAUGUGAAAGUGAACAAUAACCCUGACAACAAACAACAUGGGAUAGAAAAGCGGGACAAUAUUUCACAAAAGCACACUUUUAUAAACAACGGGUUUAGAUACAAAAAGAGUCUAGGUAAAAGCCUACAAAAUGAUUGACUCUAAAAAAUACACUGAUCCUUCAUACUUCACUUCCACAUACUCCAGGGCUUUGGUCUUCCACGGCUUUGGUCUUCCAUGGCUACCACCUCCACAGACUUUAGGGCUUUGGUCUUUCACGGCUACCAUUGAGGAUCUGAAAAUGGUUAUACAACAACUAGUGAUGUCUCAGCAAGUCUACCCUCUAAACUCUUAUUAGGAAGGAAAUACGCUUCAUGACGCCCUAAUCACACAACCACACAAUUAGAGUUGAGGUUUUACCUCGCCUCAGUUCCUUCCUGCAUAUCAGCAUAGUUCACAUCCCAAAUGCAUAUAAUUAAUGCACACAACAAUUAAAAUGCUUCAUCCACUCAAUCAAUCAAGUUCCUAUCAUAUGAUAAAUUUCCGCAAAGUUUUUGAAAUUCCAUUAUGUUUUUACCAAACAAAUGUUAUUACUCUUUCAUGCUAAGUUGAAUCACAGAUAGCACUGAGGUGAUAGACUUUGCCGGUUUGGGGAGAAGCAAAUGCAACAUACUUUUCAUAGCUAUUGGCAUAUAUUCAAUUUUUCCCGUGAAGAUGAUCUUUUUAUUAUAUCAAACGUUGCUUCAUUUGUCAGGAUAGUUGGCCCUCUGAAAUUUUCAUAUGCUCUGACUGGACUUGUUAUCUAGUUGGUUGGUCAUUACAUGCAGAUCAGAAAACAUAUAUAUUAUGCAGCUGUUAUUUUCUGUGCUAUCUCUCUGGUGUCUUCCAAUGAAUCAAAUGCCAGGCUAAGCUUUUUUUUUUGUCAUUGUUAUUUUUAUCGUUCAGUUUGGAGGUGGAAGGACCAUUCGCCGGGGGACGUGCUGGAAACAGCUGAAGAUAGGGCUACUAAAGAUGCGCGUACUAGAGAACUUGUUGCUGCUUACAAGAAAAAAAAUGGGCUUAAACAUAGAUGCGAAGUUGAAAUCUGAGUGUGAGAAGGUACCAUCCUAGUAAAUUAUGUGCGAUAUGGGGUAUAACUAAUACUUUUAGACCUAGCCCUUUGUCUUAGUGUUUUUCUUUCUCUGCCUUUCUGUAGAGAUUUACGAGACUAUUUUUACUGUAGAUUUAAAGUCAUUGAAUUGUUCGCUAUUGAAGGCUCUGAAGGAUGGUGACUCUCUGAUGGAUGGUGGAAAACUUAAGGAAGCUUUACCAUUUUAUGAAGAGAUCAUGAAUAAGCUGCCAUUUCAGGUAACCCUGCCAAAAGUGUAAAGAGUUUUUUUCGUUUGAGGGCCAAGUGUUACAUGCGCUCUGGUGCGAUGGUUGUUUGAUUGUGAUAUUUUGUUUGAUGGUUUGAUCCCCUAAUGAUUUGUAUAUGCAGAGUGAACUUCAUGGAUUAGCUGCAUUGCAGUGGUCCAUCUGCCAGGAUUCACUUACCAGGUAAUUACAUUUUUUCGUAUGGGAAGGAAUUCCUAACAAUACCAAUCGUAAUGAAGCUCAGGCAGGGUAAAUUUAGGAUCUCUGGGAAUUAGAGUUGCUUCUGUGACGCCCUUCUUGCAUCCCCUCUCGACCGCCACAGUAGGCUAGAGGCUUUGCAUUCUUUUCUGUCCCAUGCUUGAAAAUAAUGACAUGCUCAACAUGAUUGGCAGACCAAAUGAGGCUCGUAUAAUGUACGAGAAGCUUCAAUCUCAUCCAAAUGCUAAAGUCGGCAAGAGAGCUAUGCAAUUCAUGUUUAGCUUCCAGGUAAUUGUUAAUGGGAUGUCAAAGAAGGUGUAAAAGUACAUCACUGUGAAUUUGUAGGCUAUUUCUAGUUGAAGAGCAUCUAAAAUGAUGGUUAUGGUGCAAAUACUCUACAGGCCAUGGAGAUGAUGAAGGUAAGAAGCUCAAAGCUUUCGGCAAAGAGCACAGGCUACCAAAACUACUUCGAGGCCUUCAUUGACAAAAAAAGCAACUAUUCUCUGGACAAGGAUGAAGAGCUCCAAGAAGGUGCACUCUCUCAAGCCUUUCCGUACAUAGUCUUUCUUCUUUCACCCAUAUUUGUUGUGCUAUUUAUUGCUGUCCAAAGAGGAAUAUAGUGCAUGAAGAUUAUAGGAUUACCUUUUUGUUUGUCUUUUCCCCUUUUCUUGUUUUGGAGUUCCAAUGCAGAUUAAUUAUCCAAGUUGUUACUUCUAGCUGGGUUAUUGUUCUGCCCAACCUCUUUGGAGUUCUAUAUAGAGAAU